This 52302-nucleotide long non-coding RNA is filed under the name Sorghum bicolor (sorghum). RNAcentral's name for it is "long non-coding RNA (SBIC_LNC003428)". The stretch from base 29709 to 29815 matches the Rfam family "Plant small nucleolar RNA R71". The record is from RNAcentral. Lineage: Eukaryota; Viridiplantae; Streptophyta; Magnoliopsida; Poales; Poaceae.
CCCAAGCUGAAUUUUGACGUAAUUUCUCUUGAUGUAGCUAGCAGGUGGCAGAGGUGUAUUUGAAAGUCAGCAGCAUCCUAACAGCGAUUAGAAUGUCCUUCGUCUGCUAGUCUUCUUGAUUCUUAAAUUCUGUGGAGCUCAAAUAGACAACAAAGCUUGUGGAACUGAUUAAGUGUUAGCGUAAAUAUCUAGCCUUUAUCAUGUUGAGACUCCUUAAUAAAUAUUACUCCCUGUUUUUAUAUUUUCGUUUUAUAAAGCAGAAAAAUAUUUAUUUUAUUUUUAUGCCACCACAGUGAAUGUACUUAUGGGUUUCACGCCACUCGCAUACUCACAUGGGGCUUACUGUUUUUCGCAUUUUUAUUUUCUUCUUAGGAUAGUACGAACAUAAUGAACUAAGUAAACUAUUUGAAAUAAUUCAAAGGGAAAGGAUAACUACCAAGUUUACCUCUUGGCAAGGCGUUCGGUGUUUUUAAGUCCUCCGAAUGGGACUCUGCAUUUUCUCAUUCGUCCUGAGGUUCGUUGGGUGGCGUAGUCGGUACUUCCGGCAGCGCCUCCUCUUCAUGUAUAGUUAUCUUCAUUUUCCAUACCUGACUCGGUGCUUCAAUCUCCUCUGGAUAAUUCUGUUUAAACUCUACGUCUUCUGACCUUACAACUUCUCCUUCAUAGUCUGCCCAUCCGUCCUUGAUGAUUUGCCUCCUCUGGUUGCGGUUGCGUCCUUUCCUGACCUGCUUAGAUUCUUCAACGAUAUAGUUAGGGUCAGUAAAAUAACGGCGUAACUUCUCUGAGGGGAAGUGCAUAUGGACUUCUCCGGUUCCAAUGUAGAUGAUUGCUUUAAUGGUGCUGAGGAACGGUCUUCCAAGGAUGAUGGGUGGAUCGUAUUCGUCUUCUCCCAUGUCAAUAACUUGAAAGUCUGUGUAGACAAGAUGAUCGUCUAUUUUGACUGGGACAUCAAUUACUGUUCCUUUAACUUCUCGAAAUGUCUGAUCUGCCAUCUGGAGCUGAAUGUAUGUUGGUCUUAGGGGCAUGGUUCCGAACAAGUGCUGAUAGGUGACUGCGGCCAUUAUAUUGACGCCCGAUCCGGUGUCGCAAGUCGUCUUGUAGAAGUUGUAUCCAUUUAUGGAGCAAUAGAUGCUUGGCAUUCCUGGGUCGUCCUUCUUGGUCAAAAACGGUGACUUAAGUUGAUGAUCUUGGCCUCCAUGAACUGCAGUGACCAUCUUCGCUGACUCAGUCCACACUUGCUUAUUCCUAUUCCUCCUGUUGGUCCUCUUCCUUGAUUCACGUCUGGAUUGAUGUGGAAUUUGUGUAGUCUUGUUCUUGAAGAAAAAUGUCUCCUUCUUCCCUUUGACGUAGAAACUGAUCUUGGUAGCACUAGCGUAGAUGAUAGCUCCCGUGGUGUUCAAGAAUGGCCUCCCUAAGAUGAUGGGUGCCCUCUCAUCAUUUCCGGUCUCUACCACUACGAAGUCUGCUGGGGCAUACAAGGUACCAACUCGGACACAAAGGUUCUUCACUAUUCCUUUUGGAAAAGUUAUCGUCUGAUCUGCAAACUGCAAACACAUGGUUGUUUCUAAUAAAGGAUAUGUAAAGAAUUUCUCAUAGAGUACCCUGGGUAUAAUGUUGACGCUAGAGCCAAAGUCGCAGAGUGCUUCUGGAACGUCCACCAUGCCGAUGGAGAUCGGGAUGACGGGGCGUCCUGGAUCGCCUCUCUUGACCGGCAGAAGGUCAGUAGAGAAUUCAGUGAUGGGGUUACUCCAAUUACUUGUAUCAAACAUGUCUACAAGAUUUGCAGAUUCUAAUCUUUCCAGCUGUGAUGGUAUACCGGGGUUAGUAGUAGGAACAGCAGCAGCUAUUUGAUUUAACUGAGAUUCAAUCAUUUUAUUAAAGCUAAUUUGAUUCUUGAUGGCAGUAGAGAAAUUAUCCAUUCUAUUAUUUAUAUUUUCUAGUAUUUUAUCAUUAGAUGCCAAUUUCUUAGAUAGGUUAUCCAUUAGCUUUCCUUGAUUAGACACUAACUCUCUCAACGAUGGAAAAUUAUUAUUAUUGUUGUAAGAAUUGUUACCUUGAUAAUUACCUGAGUAGUUAGGCCUCUGUUGAUUCCAACCUUGAUUUUGUUGAGGACGGUUGUAGUAGUUGUUGUUAUUAUUGUUGAUGUAGUUCACACCCUCAAGCAUCUCAGGGCAGUGGUUGCCUGAGUGUCCAGUAUCUCCACACUCCUUACAAGUCAUGUGAGAGUCGUAGAUGUGCAUAACUUCUUUCUUGUCUCCAGCUCUCUCAUCGAGCUUCUUCAUGAGCAGGUCUAGCUUUGCAGACAGCAUGUCUACCUCCUUGAGCUGAUGCAUACCUCCACCUCUCUUGCGUGUCUGGGUCCUCUCUUCAUUCCAGCCUUGGUUGGACGCCAUCUUCUCCACAAGAGCUAUGGCUUGUGGUAUAGUAAGUGAUAAGAAUGCUCCUCCAGCUGCAGCAUCCAUGGUCUCUCGGGCACUGUUGCCGAGCCCAUGAUAAAACUUCUGCAUUAGUAGCCAACUCUCCAUUCCAUGAUGGGGACAUUCUAGGAUGUAGUCUUGAAAGGGCUCCCAUACUUCUGGAACAGAUUCAUCAUUUUGUUGCUGAAAACUUGUAAUCUUCCCACGGAGAGCAUUGGUCUUGCCCAUGGGAAAGAACUUAGCCAGGAAGUUUGUUGAGCAGAGUGCCCACGUAGUAUUCUUCUCCUUUGUAGCGUAGAACCACUGCUUCGCUCUUCCUAACAGUGAGAAUGGGAAGAGACGAAGUAGUAUAGCAUCUUUGGAAACUCCUGAUAUGGUGAAUCUGUUGCAAAUCUCUAGGAAGUGUUGGAGAUGAGCACUAGCAUCUUCAUGUGCCUUCCCACAGAACUGGUUGGAUUGCACCAUGUUGAUAAGUCCAGGCUUGAGCUCAAAGUUGCCAUCGAUCUCUGCAGCUGGUCCAGUGCGGAUGUUGUCCGUAGUGGGAGCUGAGAACUCGCGGAUUGAUUUAUUCGCCAUGGUUUCGAACUCUGAAGACAAGUUCCGGUGAUCUUCUUGAUUGAAUGAAGCUUCUUGCUGAAGUGUUGAUGAUCUUUUCUUGAGCUUGGCUCUUGUUUUUCUGAAUAAUGCUUCGGGAUUGUCAACAAAAUUUCCUGGAAGAUGUCUUCUAUUCAUACAUUCCCCUGCAUAAGAUAAAAUAGAAAAAUAUCGGGGUAAAACUGUAUGAGAGAAUAAAUAAGCUCAAUCAUAUUAGUGAUGCGAAUGAUAACUCAAAAUCCUGUAUUCCAUUCCUGAUUAGUAAUCAACCUUCCCCGGCAACGGCACCAAAAAUGCUUGUUGGGUAUUCUUAACAUCAUUACCAAAAGUAGACUAAGUUCUCUAAAUCUAGUAACGGUGGUAAAAAUGCCAAACCUAUCCCUCACACCACUUAAGCCAAGUUGUCAUCCCCAGCAUGACAUGAGAGACGCGGUAUUGAAAUAUGCAAUUGCUCUUCUAAAUAUAUAAUGAAUGGGAUCUGCAAGCGCACAGAUUAAUACCGAUGUAGCAUUUUAACCGGAAAGUAUUACAUGUAUCGUUAUUUAUAUUUUUACCACUGGGAAGGGAUUAACAAUCAUCAAUAUUGAUUACAGAAUAGAAUAUGAGAUUGAGCAUCUAUCAUUGCAUGUAUAAUUGAGAACAUUAUAUCUAACUGUCACAUAAAGGAUAUAUGAAAUAAUGAAUAGUGACAAAGAUAAUUAAUCUGAUCUAGCCACAUAAUAAAUAUGAUAAGCACCUCAAUUAGAUACUCUAGAAAGUCAUUAGCAUGGUAUUAGAACGAACUACAAGAAUAUUCCCUAAGUUAUUCUCAACUAUAUAGUCUAGCAUUAUCAUAAUUAGUGCAAGCAUACUUCUCAAUCAUUGCGAGACAAGACUACGCCCAUGCAUAGUGAUAUUAGCAAGGUAAAUGAGAAACAUAGCAAUCACUCCCCUCUAAUAAUGUUGCUCUGCCAGCCCAAUACACGAGAGGGGGACUAUAUAAGAAUCAAUGAAGCUGUCACUAUCACGAACUACCCCACGAUCUGGCAUAUUGGGUACAAUCGCAGAUAAAUACGGUAUAAGCACCAUGCCUACAAAAUAUCUAUCAUUUACCCAUGGAUCCAAUGGAUAAACGCUAUACGAUCCUAAGCAUGUAUAUAGAUCCAAUCUAACUAAGCCAAGUACAUAACUAUGAUAAACUAAGAACAAUAUAAUCUUGAAUAUAAGCAAGUAGAGCAAAGUCAUUAGCAAUAUAUUGAAGUAGAACAAAGUCAUAUUCAUAAUACUGAAGAACAAAGAUAAUUAGAAGAACAAUUAGAAGCACAAUUAGAGAAUUACCAAGAAUCCUCUUGACAGAUCCGGAAACCAAUCGAAGAUUGACUCCUUCUAGUUCUAAUCCUAUGUAGCUAUGCUAAUCUAGAUAUCUAAUUGAUGUGGUGGCUCUAAUCUUGAUCAGAGGCUUCUUCUCCCUUGAAGAAUAAUGAAUUAGGGUUGAGAGGCUCUCUCCUCCAGGGGCCAGGGAGUCUGGUUUUAUAGUCCCUUCAAGUGAAUAUGGGCCGUUGGAUCAAACCGACAUAGAUUGUAUGGUUUAGAUUCAUCCUUUAGGUCGGUGGAGAUCUCCCACGAAGCAGAGUCCUGAUUGGACUCAGGGAGAGGGUGGGCGCCCAGGGGAACAGGGCGGGCGCCCUGCCUCUGGCUUCGUUUCGUCUCCACUUCGGUCUCAAGGCUUCUGGAGUCUUCUAGAUGUAAGAUAAUUGCACGGCACGUUAAUAUCUCUAUGUAAUCCCGACGUGUGGGCCUUUCUUCUGUAUUUCCUGAUAACCCCCUGCAGAAAUAGACAAACACCAAAACUCGUGGAAUUCUGUCAGAUAAAACCCUAAGUCUAGAUGUUGAUUUCAUUUGGAUCCUUUUCUUUAUUUAUUUGAUAAUUAAAUUUGAUACUUAAGGACCGUCAACAAACUCCCCCAAGCUUACCUCUUGCUCGUCCCUGAGCAAGGAUAGACUCAGCUAUGGAUCAUAAGUUGUUGCAAUAUCUUUAAAAAUUGACGGUACACAUGCUUUUAAAUGAGGUCUCAUCUCUGAGUUAGAGUAAACUGUCAAGACUUAAAACUUACUUACUUUGCCUUUACCAUGGGACUUGUAACUGUCACUUCUGUCUUGAGUGGUUAAAAGAUAGAACAGUCUAGCCAAGUGCCAUGUCUCUUAUUCUUGAUCAGCUAUAGCUCUAGAGUUUUUUCAGAUUUUCAAAUAAAACUCAGAGAUUCCUUGUAUGAUUCUCUCAGAUCUCUCUUUUGUGGUAUUUCUGGAUCCUUACCAAGGCAGUGAUGGUAUAUGCCUUCUCUCAAGAUAUGUAGUAUUUGUGGUAUAAAGCAUAGUGACAUUGCCUUCUCUCUCACCCUACUCUAAUAAGGCUUUAAUAUCUGGAGCUCAUAGGUGGGAGAUUGUUGACACCGUUUUUGGGCACGUGUCCAUGAUCGGUAAAGUGUAGAUCGGCAAGAUAAGGCGGUGGUACUUGGUCUACAGGGAAAGUUGCCGAUGGAGAUGGUUGCCGAUGGAAGGAUGGUUGAACGUGACUAAGUCCAUAGGUGAUGAUGUGCCUGUGCCGAUGGCUGCGACAAGGGAGUUUGCCGAUGAUAUAGGGGAAGAGCCUGGGGGUUGCCGAUCGGUCUGUGGAGGUGUUCCAGUUUGUCACGGGGGGAUAAUUUUAUAUUUUCCUUAAUUAUUUAGAUCGUUCUAUAUACGGAUUCUGUGUAAUUUGGAAUUCGAGUUCUAGUCGUGUCUGGUUGUAGCUCUUUGAGCAGGGUAUAAAUGUAGACCCUAGGGCCUUGUAAUUAGACAUCUAUCAAUCAAUCAAACACAAGUUUUUACUCAUAUUCCAGCAUCUACUUUUCGGUGACUUCGUCAUAUUUUCUUUUUUAUUACGAGUUCUUAGGAAUUCAUCGACUUAAGCUCGACGUGUUCUCGAGUUCCGCGUGAGUACCUCUUGGCCGUGACAUCCGGGCGCAUCGCUGUUGUCAGGACCAAAGUAUUCGAGUUACCUUCCUUGCCGAUAGUAAGGUCAAAUCGGCUGGCACGCCUUAACGUUUGAAUCGGGUAUUAGCCCUUUGUGUUUGCAGAUCAGCUUUUGCACCAACACAUCUUUUGGCACGCCCAGUGGGACAGAUUCAAGAUCAAGAUCAACAUGUCGACCUCUGAGUUUGAUCAAGAGAACGUCAUCCCCGUGACGGAAGCCAAUCUCAAGGAUGAGCAGAAGCAAGCUAUUCCUAAAGCCAUGGAGGACUACAAGCAGCAAUGCCUGAGGUCCUUCAGCAUGAACAGGAGCGGUGAGGUGAUUCAGAAGGAUGCACUGCCGGCACCUCGGCAGGUUAGUUUUGAAGCCAAUCCUGGCAAACUUCAAGAGAUGGUUGACAGCGCUAUCAACGGUGCUUUGAUCAACCAAGCUGGCGUACUGUCUAAUACAGUUUUCAAUGCUGUGGCAAGAACUUUCAAGGAAGGACAAUUGCCACCAGAUUUAUGUGGGCCCCACUUAUCAUCAGCCAGGGUCACCGGUGGUCACAGCUCCAUCGGCUGCUACAGCCGCUGCGGGUUCACAAACUAUCGUUCCUCUAAGUACGUUGGGACUCACGAAUACACAAUCUACACCGAUGAUGACUAAUCCGCAGACUUCAGAUGGGCAGAUUAAACUCGCUACAGAUCUGUUGGCAUCGGCAAUGUCAGGAUUGACUCCUCCUCCUAACUGGUGGGGUUAUGGUAUGCCUCCAGAGUUAACGCCGGGUACAUCGCAGACAACUGACAUGAGAGGCAAGACUCCUAUGGCAUCGGCACCUCCCAAUGCGUCGGUGAACCAGAGUCCCCGGUAUACUACAACUACUACUGCAAGACCUUAUACUGGGAAUUCUCAAGCUCCAAUGUUCCAGAUGCCUAACGCAUCGGCAGACUCAAUGCUGAUGCAACAGAGGUUUACAACUCAACCAGGGUAUGACAGUUCAAUGAUCAUGCCCAAUUACCAGUCAUCGGCAGGGCCUAUGCCGAUGAACGCUAAUAAUGGAUGGCUUGGGCAGCAAGUCUUUCUGCAAACGCCCCAACAGAAUCACCAGGCUACAGGGUUCCAGCAAGGACAGGUCUAUCCUAGGUUCCAGAAUCAAGGGAUCCCUAACCAGCCAAUGAAUCUCGGGCAGCAAGUCGGUGGACAGAAAAUUGGCAGGCAACAGCUUGGUGGUCCACAGAUUGGAGGCCAGAUGAUCAACCCAAUGUUCCAUGCAGAUCGUGCACCGCACCGACACGUGGAGGCUUACCAGCAGGUGCCGGAUCCGCAACCUCCUCAUCGGCAAGAUGCCGAUGCUUAUUGGGCUGAUAAGAUUGCUGAAGUAAUGAGGGACCAAUUUGGGAUAAAACCCAAAGUCAAUACUUACUCGUAUCGGACACCGUAUCCUCCCGCAUAUGAUUUGAUCCCGCUUCCGCAUCGGUACAAGGUACCGGAUUUUACUAAGUUUUCUGGACAGGAUGACACGUCGACCAUGGAGCACGUCAAUAGGUUCAUCAUUCAAUGCGGAGAAGCUGGUAACAGGGACGAGUUGAGGGUUCGCUUAUUCUCGUCAUCGUUGUCUGGAUCGGCUUUCACCUGGUGUAUAUCGUUGCCUCCCAAUUCAGUGAUUACUUGGGCCGAUCUGGAGAAAAAAUUCCACAAAUACUUCUUUUUUGGAGUCCAUGAGAAGAAGAUCACCGAUUUGGUCAAAUUAAGGCAACGCAAUGAUGAAUCGGUUGAAAGUUUUGUGCAGAGGAUACGGGAAGUCAAGAAUAAAUGCUAUAGUCUGGUUCUGGAUGAUCGGCAGCUAGCUGAUUUGGCUUUCCAGGGUUUGUUGCCACACAUCAGGGAUAAGUAUGCCUCCCAGGAGUUUGAAAGCUUAAGUCAUUUGGUGCAGAGAAUUUCGAUCAAGAUAUCAAGCCUUUCGAGCCCAACAGAGCAUGGAACAAAAAGGUAUCGUUUGUUGAUGAAGCAACAAGCUCAGAUUCUGAUGAGGAACCAGUCAUCGGCUUGGCAGAGUGGGUAGAAAAUAAGAAGCAGAUGUCUUGUCCUUUCGAACAUAAAGAACCAGAGAAGUUCGCGUUUGACACCGCUAAGGCCGAAAGGAUAUUUGACUUUCUACUUCAGGAAGGUCAGAUCAAGCUGUCUCCUAAUCACGUGAUCCCAUCGACUGAGGAGUUAAAGAGGAUGAAAUAUUGCAAGUGGCACAAUGCAACUUCUCACGACACCAAUGAGUGCAAGGUUUUCAGACAGCAGCUGCAAUCGGCUAUAGAGUCUGGGAGAAUCAAAUUUGACAGUUCUAAGACCCAGAAGCCGAUGAAGAUCGAUCAACAUCCUUUCCCAAUGAACAUGUUGGAUGCUAAGGGAAAGGCCAAGGUCUUAACAUCGGAAGCAGCCGAAAUAAGUGCAUCAGUGGAUCCUCAGCAUCAGGUCACUACUGCCGAUGUGAGAGGAAGGGGCUUGGUACAGGAAGGAACCAGCUCAGGGAGGCCUCCCCGAUCUGGUAUUGUGAUAACCCAUAGAAGGCCUCGAGAGAAUUGGCAGCAACGAGAAGAUCGGUAUAGGCGCCAGCAAGAGGAUUAUCGUCGGGAAGAAGAGAGAUGCCGACAGGAGUGGAAUCGGCAUAGGGAUCACUGGAACUGCCCGUUCUUCAUCCAUUGUUAGGAGGAGAAUAUCAAGCUCCCUACUGUCAGAGAUUGUCCUGAAUGCAACGGUUACGAUCGGUAUGAUAGGUCCGAUCGGCGCUAUCACGACGAUAAUCGGCGAUCUAAUGGGCCGAUCAGAGGAAGAGCGUCUGUUCACGAUCGGCUGGGGGGCAGGCUCAGCGUGCACGACAGGCUUGGUGAUCGUGUUCAGUAUUUUACCAGGAACCAGGAAGAGCUCGAAGAAAUGGCUAAUGCACGGGUUCCCGAUGAGUUCAUAUUUUGCAGGGAUGCCAAUACUUAUCGGGUAGAGUCUGGGGGAGAUCGUCGCCCAGGAGCAAGGCAACAGCAGCUUCCUCCCUGGUGUCCAGAGGGGUUGACCAGGACACAGAAAAGGAGGCUGCAGCAUGAAAGGCGAGAAGGGUUAAGCAAGGGCGAGAACUCUGGCCAGUCUGGGGAUCAGCAGCAAUCAGAUCCCAAGGGGGAAGGUCCAUCGGCAGAUGUCAACAUGGUCUUUAUGUUGCCGAUGGAGUUCCUUGCGCCAUCCAGUGAUGAUGAGUUAGAGUUCUCCGACCAAAUAGCUCAAUUGUCUCUGGAUCCGAUGACAGCUAUCUUCGAGAAGCCUGCCGAUGAUGAAAGGCAACAUCUCAAGGCUCUGUUUGUCAAAGGAAGGGUUGAUGGGGAGCCGAUGACCAAGAUUCUAGUUGAUGGUGGGGCUGCUAUCAACAUCAUGCCAUAUGUAGUGUAUCAGAAGCUUGGGAAAGGGGAUCAGGAUCUAACCAAGACCGAUAUGAUGCUUAUAGACUUUGAAGGGAAUGUGUCUCCGGUCAAGGGGGCAAUAUGUGUAGAGUUGACAAUCGGCAGCAAAACCUUUCCGACAACCUUCUUUGUGAUCAGUGGAAAGGGUGCUUACAACUUGCUGUUGGGAAGAGAUUGGAUUCAUGCUAAUUGUUGCAUCCCGUCUACAAUACACCAAUGCUUGGUUCAGUGGGUAGGUGACAAGAUUGAAAUUGUCCCAGGAGAUUCUUCUUACGUCAUCGCAUCGGCAGAGGCGGAUACCUAUGAAAGGACUAGGUGUAUUUCAGGAGAGGUUUGGGAAAAAGAUUUUCUCAAGGUUGCCGAUUAUGAAAUUCCACCGAUCCAAGCAGUCGGUUCUGAGGAUGGUUUUUAAUGGAUAGGUUCGCCGAUGAUGGAAAAUUAGGCCAGGGGUUCACAUCAGCCGAUGAUUUAGUAGAAGUAGAUAUAGGUAGUGGUGAUAAACCUAGACCUACUUUUAUUAGUGCCAAGUUAGAUUGUGAGUGUAAGCAACAGUUAACUAAUUUGUUAAGGGAAUAUAAAGAUUGCUUUGCUUGGGAUUAUACUGAGAUGCCUGGUUUAGACCGAUCAAUUGUUGAACAUCGGUUGCCUAUCAAGUCUGGAUUUUGGCCACAUCAGCAGCCGGCUCGCCGAUGUAAUCCUAAUAUUCUCCCUGAUAUUAAGGCCGAGAUAACGAAACUUAUUGAAGCCAAGUUUAUUCGGCAGUGUCGGUAUGCCGAAUGGAUUUCCAAUGUUGUUCCGGUCUACAAGAAGAACGGGAAGCUUCGGGUCUGCAUUGAUUUUAGGAAUCUUAAUAGAGCUACGCCGAUGGAUGGGAACCCAAUGCUAGUUGCCGAUCUGUUGGUUGAUGCUGCGGCUGGGCAUCGGAUUAUUAGCUUUAUGGAUGGCAAUGCAGGGUACAAUCAAAUAUUCAUGGCUGAAGAAGAUAUUCCGAAGAUCGCGUUCAGGUGCCCUGGUCUUGUUGGAUUGUUUGAGUGGAUAGUCAUGACUUUUGGCCUAAAGAAUGCUGGUGCUACUUAUCAAAGGGCCAUGAAUUUUAUAUUUCAUGAGUUCAUCGGCAAGCUGGUAGAGAUUUAUAUUGAUGAUGUGGUGGUCAAGUCUGGAAACUUCAGAAAGCAUCUUGCCGAUUUACGAAAGGUGUUGGAAUGCACAAGGAAGCACGGUUUGAAAAUGAAUCCCAAUAAGUGUGCAUUUGGUGUAUCGGCAGGGCAAUUUCUUGGUUUCAUGGUGCACCAGAGGGGAAUUGAAAUCAGUCAGAGAUCUAUUGAUGCCAUCAAUAAGAUAGUAGCCCCUACCAACAAGACCGAGCUCCAAUCCUUGAUCGGCAAGGUAAAUUUUAUCAGAAGGUUCAUAUCUAACUUGUCUGGUAAAAUUUGUGCUUUCAUCCCUCUUCUUAAGUUAAAGGCCGAUCAAGAGUUUGUUUGGGGGAAGGAACAACAGUUGGCUCUAGAUGAAAUCAAGAAUUAUUUAGUAAAUCCUCCAGUUCUAAUUCCACCUCAGCAAGCGAAGCCCUUCAGAUUGUAUUUGUCUACCGAUGGGAUGGUCAUCGGUUCGGCUUUAAUUCAAGAGUUUGAAGGGAAGGAGCGUGUAAUUUAUUAUUUAAGCAGAAGGUUGAUUGAUGCUGAGACCAGGUAUUCGUCUAUCGAGAACUGUGCUUGUGUUUAUAUUUCUCUUGUAUCAAGUUAAGGCACUACUUGUUAUCGGCCGAAUGCACUGUUAUUUGCAAGGAUGAUGUGGUCCGAUACAUGCUAUCCAUGCGGAUUAUGAGUGGCAGGUUCGGUAAAUGGAUUUUGGCGCUGUCGGAAUUCGAUUUGCGUUAUGAAUCGGCUAAGGCAGUUAAAGGGCAGAUUAUGGCCGAUUUUGUAACUCAACAUUGCGGUACAGUGGAGACUUUGGAAAUUGUGCCUUGGACGCUCUUCUUUGAUGGGUCCACAUGUGACUGGGGGGUAGGAAUCGGCAUAGUAUUAGUUUCCCCUCGAGGAAAGAAGUAUGAAUUUUCCUUGCCAAUUGCUGCCACGUCGACGAAUAAUUAAGCUAAGUAUCAAGCCUUGAUAAAGGGGUUAGAGUUGUUGAGAGAAGUCCAUGCUGAUGCCGUUGAGGUUUUCGGGGAUUCUAUGCUAGUUAUAAAUCAAUUGGCUGGGAGCUAUGAAUGCCGGAGUGAAGUUCUCAUAACUUAUUAUGAGAGGAGUAUGUAGUUGUUAAAAGAAUUCAAAGACUUUCGAUUAGAGCAUGUUCCUCGAUUGCAUAAUGAAGAGGCCAAUCGGUUAGCUCAGCAUGCCUCGGGAUAUCAGCCUAUGAUUAAUACGGUAUCGGCAAUUGGUGCCGAUGAUUGGAGAAAAGAGAUCAUUGAUUAUUUGAAGGAUCCAUCUAAGAAAGUUGAAAGGCGGGUUCGGUUUCAAGCUACUAAGUAUGUGCUCCUCGAAGAUGAAUUGUAUUACCGAACUAUUGAUGGGAUUCUUCUCCGAUGCUUGGGUGAUGAUGAAGCUAGAAGUUUGAUGGGAGAAAUCCAUGAAGGGGUAUGUGGAGCACAUCAGUCGGCUUUCAAGAUGAAGUGGAUUAUUAGGAGGAAUGGAUAUUACUGGCCGACCAUACUCGAGGAUUGCUUUAAAUAUUUCAAAGGGUGUCAAGGCUCUCAAAAGUUUGGCAAUAUUCAAAGAGCACCCGCAUCGGCUAUGAAUCCUAUUAUCAAACCUUGGUCGUUCCGGGGAUGGGCUAUUGAUUUGAUCGGCCAGAUUUAUCCACCAUCUAGCAAAGGGCAUAAGUUUAUUCUAGUUGCCACCAAUUAUUUCACUAAAUGGGUUGAAGCUAUUCCUUUGAAGAAAGUCACAUCGGCCAAUAUGAUUGAUUUUGUAAAGGAGCAUAUUAUUUACCGAUUUGGGAUUCCUCAAACGAUUACUACCGAUCAAGGCACUAUGUUUACAUCAGGGGAGUUUGAUGAAUUCGCAAUCGGUAUGGGGAUUAAAGUGUUAAACUCUUCUCCGUAUUAUGCUCAGGCUAAUGGGCAGGCCGAGGCGUCUAACAAAGGAAUUAUCAAGCUUAUCAAACGAAAGAUUGAAGAGAAUCCUAGAAAGUGGCAUACAUUGUUAAAUGAAGCCUUAUGGUCAUACCGGAUGGCUUGUCAUGGAUCGACUAAAGUUUCGCCUUAUCAGUUGGUGUAUGGACAUGAUGCAGUGUUGCCUUGGGAAAUUAAGGCUGGAUCUACGCUAAUGCUAUUGUCUUUUCAAGAUCAGUUGGCUGCCGAUGAUUAUGCUACUUUGAUGACAGACGAGUUGGAUGAUCUAGCAGGGCAUCGGCUGAGGGCUUUGAUGAGUAUAGAAGAAAAUAAGAAGAGAGUUGCUAGAUGGUAUGACAAGAAAGUGAAGGCUAAGGAAUUUGCCCACGGAGACUUGGUAUGGAAAUUGAUUUUACCGAUCGGGACUAAAAGUUCGAAGUUUGGGAAGUGGUCUCCCAAUUGGGAGGGUUCCCAUCGGAUAAGACGAUCGGCUCCUGGUAACGCCUACAUUUUAGAAACUCUCGAAGGAGUUGAAUUUCCCAGAGCAUUAAAUGGCAAAUAUUUAAAGAAAUACUACCCCAGCAUAUGGGUCGAUGCAUAAAGACUUAAAUGCCGAUAACACUCCUAUCGGUUGGAUUAAAAUGUAUCUGGAGCCUGACUUAAUGUUUCAAAAGUUGCCGAUAACAGUCCUAUCGGCUAGAAUAAAACAUCAAGAAAGCUAAAGAGCGGAAAGAGGCAGGUGUGUUGCCGACGAAGAGCUCACAUGCUUAGCAGCGCCUGGAUCGCCGAUAUGGCGCGCAGCCGGAUUUGGUUGGCUGCUUCUAUCUCUUUGACAUCGUCAUCGGCAGAACCUUCUAUCAGCUUCAGCUUUUUCUUCAACUGCAAUGCCUUGUGACCGUGGGCGUUUCGUUCUUGCUCAAGGAGCUUGAUGGCCUCUGGCAGUUGGCUCUCUUCCUGUUGGGCUUGGGAUAGGGCGUCCUCCACUUGCUUGAGUUCUGCCAACAGGGCUUCUCUUUUUGCCGAUAGGUCGGAGAUCUUCUGCUUCAGCGCGUCUCCUAAAGAUCUCAAGAUGCCGAUGUUCUUGUGCUUCUCAUCGGUCAGGAGUUUCUCUUUCAUCAUCUCCUCAGAAAGCUGGGUUUGAGCAGCUCUAUCGGCAAGGCGCCGGGAGGCUCUCUGGUACUGCAGCUGACGACUAUCCAGAUGUGCGGCUUGGAAGAGGAUUUCUUCGACAUCGGCAGGAAUCUGGCCUCUGAGCGUCUUGAACAGAACUUUGGCUGGGUCAGAGUCGUCGACCAGUUGAGCCGUGUCUUGAUGGAGGAGAGCCGACAGUUCUUCUAGCUUAGCCCUGAUCUCUGCCGACGCGAUCCCAACUGCCCGGGAGGAGCUUGCUUCCUCACCUUCUUCUUCGGAGAUAUCAAUGGCAAAGGAAAAUAAGUUGUCGGGAGAAUCCUGUUCCUAAAAAGGAAAAAAAAAGUGAGUCAUUCUAUAGUCAGGACAUCGGCAAAUAACAUUGAUGGAGAUCCGAUGGCUUACUUGCUUCAAGGCAAUUUCUCGCCUUUGACUGGAAGAUGCCGAUGGAGCCGCAGAUGGAUCGGCCAGGAUUGCCGAUGGAACGACGUCAGCUGAAAAUUGACCACAGGGGUUAUGAGACUGAAAAAGAAUAAGUUCAUCGGUGGUGAUGUUAUAAAAAAUGUGUUACCUUGAGGAGGGACGAUGCUUGUCUGGAUUGAGGAAACUACCGAUGACAUGAUUGAACCUGCCGGGUCGGUAGUUUGCUCGCCUACAUCGGCUGAUGUGUCUUCUGGCUAGGGUGCUUCUACUUGGGGUUCUUCUUGCUGGGGUUCGUCUGCUUCUGGUGUUUCUUGCGGUCGAGGGGGAGAUGGUACUUGCUGAGUCUCUACGUCUGGAGGAGAAGGAGAAGAUUCCACCGAAAUGGGAGAUACCGGAGGAGGAGGAGGAGUCGCCACUUUCUGGCGCUUUGUUUGUGCCCUGGUACUCUUGGCACCCUUUCUCUUUUGCUGGCUGGACUGGGGUGCAUCGGCACCUUGGCUCUUGGUUCUUGCCGAUGCACUAGUUUGCUGUUACAGAAGAAAGAAUUUGUGGGUAUCAAUACAGCCGAUGUAAAAAUAAGAUCGGUAUGAAUGAAGAGGCCUAACAGUUACCUUAAAAGCCUAUGCUAGAGUGGAGGCGGCUACCGAUGGUGGUGUCUGAGUUCUCCUGGUGGUAACUUUCUUGAGGCGUAUACCUCGAUGCACGAUGGCAGCCAAGGUAGGGGCAUUGUGGCCGAUUUAAGAGAUUGGACCUGAUGCAAACAGAUCAAUCGGCUUGCCACUUCUACUGACCGAUGGAGGGGUGUUAUCGACCUGCAAAAUAAUACAAAAGUAAGUCACCGAUGAAAAUGAAAUUGGAAGAAUUGGAACAUCAGUUUGAAGACACUUACAGUAUCAUCGGGGACUUUGUACUCGGGGUCGAUCAUACCGCGGUACGUGAGGGCCGAUUUGCAGAAUAGAUGCUCCUUCCAUUCUGCCCACCACUGCUUGUACGCCUGAGUGAUGAAGGCGGCUGGAACCCACUCUGAUAAGUCUACGUCUGUAUCGGCACCCGAUGGCACUUGGGCUACUCGAAUCCAUUCUAGGAGGCUGGUAAUGGUUUCCCUGGGCUUUAUUACAUCGGCGUAGCAGAGUGCAAUCGGCAGUUGGCCGAAAGCUAACUGACGAGCUAAUGCCGAUGGAUUGUAGAACUCAUAAGUCUGGGGAGAGGUUUUCCCACUACUGAAGAAGUUCACUGGUAUGGCUCUGGGGGUCACCAAAGCCAUCAUCACUUUGUUAUCCUUGUCAAGGGCAUCGUUGAACGGGUUAAAAACCAGGGGAAGCAUACUGUCUGGGUCAUCGUAGGCCAACCACGCUCGCUCAUCUCUGGCCAAACCCUCAUACAAAGUUUGGAAGAAUCGGCUGACCUGAUUUGGAUUACCCCCUGUACCAGGCAGAACUAUGACAGCUUCACCGAAGUUCAAGGGAGCGCGUGUUGCCGAUUCCUCUUCAUCCAACACAUGGUUUUCGGCUAUGUCUCUUGGAAAACGCUGUGUGAACAGGUCAAACUCAAGGUGCUUGUGCAGAUGCAGAUUGAGCCACAUAUUGAUGAACCACCAGGGGCCUCCCAAGUUGCCGAUAGACUGGCCGAGCAAGAGUUUCCUAGUCACUUGGUGAAGGAGGUGGUAGGCUGCACCAAGCAGGUAUCGGCCGAGGGGGAAUCAGCCACCAUUGGCCAGAUUUUCAGCUGCCGCUAAGUGGACCGAGGCUGGUCCUGCUAAUCGCCCGCAAAACACGAACUUAUCUAGCCACAUGUUCAGGAAACAGGUCUGCUCUUUUAUGUUGAUAGGGCCUGUUCGUUUAUAUUUCUGAAUAUACCCUGACCAACCGCCGAUGGAGCGAGUUUCUACCUUGGCACUGGGCUUGGUGUCGAAAAAAUGGGUGCUAUCGGCUGAAGAUACAUCUAGGCCGGUAAGCAUAGCCACAUCGGCAAGAGUAGGGGAAGCAGGGCCGUGGCCAAAGACAAAGGCGUUGAGCGUGUCUGACCAGAAGUAUGAUGCGGCUAUCAGCAGUGACUCAUUUCUAUGCAUAUCAGCAAUGGAUAACCUAAUGCAUUGAUCUAGCUUUCUUUCACCCCAUUGGACUUCAUUUGAGUUGCUGACUGUUGACGGUCCUUAAGUAUCAAAUUUAAUUAUCAAAUAAACAAAGAAAAGGAUCCAAAUGAAAUCAACAUCUAGACUUGGGGUUUUAUCUGACAGAAUUCCACGAGUUUUGGUGUUUGUCUAUUUCUGCAGGGGGUUAUCAGGAAAUAAGGAAGAAAGGCCCACAUGUCGGGAUUACAUAGUGAUAUCAACCCACCGCACAAUUUUCUACCAUCUAGAAGACUCCAGAAGCCACGGGAAGGAAGCGGAGCCCGAAAGGGGCCAGGCCCAGGGCGCCCGCCCCCCUGUUGGAGCCAAAUCAGGACUCUUUCGCCCGGGAUAUUCCACCAACCUAUUGGAUCAAGAAAAACAUAGUACCACCUCGCCUAUCGACCCAAAAACGCAUAGAAGGGGAGGACUAUAUAAGCAAGGCCCCCUGGCCCCUGGAGGAGACAAGAAAUUAUCAUAGAGAUUGAGGGGUGCCCUCGAAGGAAAACCUCUUCUCUAAAUAAUAUUUCUUUUUAGGCUUAGCAACCAAUGUAAGGUAGAAAUAGAUCUUCUAGUUUCUACUAGAUUGAGAGAGAUAGAGUGGAGGUGUAGAUCGGAGGAAGGCCGGCCUGUCGGUGUCUACUCCGAGUUGUACCUACGGGAUCAAGUCUCCUAACCCGAGGCUUGCUUCUAAGAUUCUUCAGUAAUUCGACUUCUAAUACUAGUAAGUUCUUGUUUUAUUGUUCUUUGGUUUAUGAGUUUACUUUAAUCCUCUUCCGGUUGAGUAUUAGAGUAAUCACUUGUUAGCGUAAACGUGGUGUUUAGGCUAGGGUACUCAUAGAUAUGCCCUGACUAGCUGGACCGUGGUAGUAGCGAGGAACGUGACAUUUCCGAGUUACCUUUGUAGAUCACAUCUCGUUAGCAGGACGGGUAGGGUUAUAGGUGCGGGUCGAACAUCCUUUGUGUUGUCUAGAUUCCGUGAGCCUUCCCAAUAGAAUAGUAGAUCAUCCUUACCAAGGUUAGAACGAGACUACGGUUGCAGUCUUCUCUAUACAUCACUCACAUCGAGAGACAUUCUUUGUAGCCUAAAGGGAUAGUAGCAAUAGAUUUGGUUAGUCAGAUGCACCCUUUCUCCCAGUGGUAAAAAUAUAAAUACGAUAACUCUGGAUAACCUCCCGGGUGAAAUGCUCACCGAUAUCCGUGUGCUUGCGGAUCAUUUUCUAAUUGCGUUACCAAAUAUCAACAAGCAUUUCUGGCGCCAUUGCCGGGGAGAAAGACGGUUUGCUGAGAUAACUUUGAGUCUUGCUAUUAUCUUGUAUUAUACUUUUAUACUUUUAUUCUUUUAUCUUUUUAUUUUUUCUAUCUUUAUGGAUAACUCAAAUUCCAUACCUAUUAUUGAAUUCUUUGCACCUUCGGAGACCAGCCAUAGACCAUGGGAGUCAACACGUCCUGCCCCUAAUUAUGAUCUGUGUCCGGAGUUGAUUGCAAUAGGUCAAAACCAACCCUUUUCUAUAGCCGAGGUCCUAUCUUUUAAUCACAAAGAUAAUGCACUUUUAGCUACACCUAGGGAAUCUAUUAAUCUUUCUAUAAAUUCUGGUUUAGACCUAGCCCUACAAGACCAUGUUUUUCCUAGAUAUUUUCAAAUUGGUCUUAAUCAUAUAACCUUUGGUAGAGUCUUUCUUUCUUUAUCUAUUAGUAAAGGAAGGUAUGCCUUCAUUUGUGGACAUCCUUCUUGUAAUAGUCUUCAUAGAAAAAUCUUAGAAAUAGAGAAGGAAUCAUCUCCCAGACGAGGAAAGGAAGUUUUAAUAGCCAAUUUCCAAACAUUUCAAUCCCAUGAUUCGGCUAUCCAACCCAUCCUUGAGCUUAACAAUUUCUACUAUGCUCUUUCUCUUGAACCUCCCGAUAAUCCUAUGAAUCUCUCUAGACAUCCCAUGCAUAAGAAGGAGGAUCGAGAAGAGGAACAUCAAUGGCUAGAGGGCAUUAAAAAUCCAUGUGCUAUCACCAUUGAAUGGAUAGAUAAAACAAACUUGAGAGACAAUCCUAGAGGAAUUUUAAACAUUCAUGAAGAAUCAUCCUUGGAGUUUGAGAAUGAGAGAAACAACAGUGAGCAUGGAAGUUAUUUCAUAAAUACCUCACCCAGUCCUUGCUCAUAUAAAACAUCUCUCCAAUCAAUUUGUCUCUCCAUCCUUACCACAUUUGAGAUCUCCAACCCCCUCUUCUUAUCUAUUUAUAAAAACUUUAAAAGGGCGGUUGUCGAUGCAUAUGUCUAUAAUAAAUAUUACAGAUCUCGUUGAGUUAAUUGAUGGUUCCCCAAGGACAAGCUUAGUGUCCUAAAACAAGCACUUCUAAUUAUUUGCAACAUUGCCUUGUGUAUUGAGCAUAUAAAGAUAAUUGUAGAAAUAUUCCUUCGGGUAUUCUUGUCACUAACCUUUCCAGGAUUGGAGCAAGAAGAUCGGAUGAAUGACAAGCACAAGGUAUGCCCAACCAAUCAUCAUGCAACAUUAAAUUAAAUUCAUUCAAUCUUGAAUUUUGCAAAAUUCAAGCUUGGGGGAGUACUUUACAUAAAACAUCCUUUGCCAUGUUGCUAUGUUGGUUGUCCUUACCUUUGAGACAUGCUCAAUUUGUUAAAUACUAAUCACACUACUUCAUCUCCACUUGAGUAGAUCUCUAUAAAAGCCAUCAUGCUACCUUUGUUUAUCCUAGUAAGUGUUAGUUUGGAAGUAUUGGUCACACUUCCAAUGGCAUUUAAAUUAAGCGUGGUGCUUAGGUUAAAUAGCCUUCCUUAAUCUGAUUAGACAUGGAGUCUAGUUUGGUUACUUAACUAAAAACUGCUUGAGUAGAUAUUGGUAUAUUUUGUUGGACUAACCCCUGUAGGAAAACUUUCAAUAACAACCUGGGAAGUCCUGAGAUGCAAACUCAUUAGAGAUGAAGAAAGUGACACAUGAAGUUUAACAAUUUGCACAAGAAAGACGUAGCUCAUAAGAGAUGAUUCAUGGAGGGUGCCACAAACACGAUGCACAACCGCUAAGAAAGGAAAGCUUCCACAAGGUGAUAUUGUACCAUCACUCUUCAAGUAAGGUAACAUCUUAAGGUACUUGACUAACACUUUUAUAAGCUCCUCCUUGGUUCUGGCAUUCACAUAAAUAAAGAGACAAACAUGUAUGAUUUAUAACUCCAAAUUAACCAACUCAAUUAAUUCAACAUGUUUAGUCCUUUAAUCUUUGUUCUUAGUACUACCUUUGUGACCCCACACUCCUAAUCAUAUAAGCUAAAGUAGUGCACAUUCAAUCUUUGGAAGAUAUAAACAAAACAUAAAUAUAGAUAGAUUAUCUUUCCAUUAGGUUGAGCCAUCUGAUCUGACAAAUGCUACACUCAUAAUCCAUCAACUUUGUCUUGCUCACUAUGCUUAAGGUUAGAGAAGAACAAAUACACUUUUGGUUCUGUUGGUGUUUUCCACCAACAGGGCCCAUGCACUUGAUCUCUACCUUGUCUCUAUGAGCAGGAACACUUCGAGCAUAAUAUGAAGGAGUUCUACAACUCCCAGAUUCCACCAAGUGAAGAACUAGGAUCUACGAGCACAAAUAUACUGGAGAUACUGGACGCUCAGGCAAUCACUGCCCUAGGAUGCUUGAGGACGUGAACUACAUCAACAACAAUAACAACUAUUACUACAACCGUCCUCAACAACAUCAAGGUUGGAAUCAACAGAGGCCUAAUUACUCAGAGAGGUGAUCUAGGACGCCCCGUCAUCCCGAUCUCCAUCGGCAUGGUGGACUUCCUAGAAGCACUCUGCGACUUUGGCUCCAGCGUCAACAUUAUGCCCAGGGUUGCAGAUCGGACACUCAGUUUCCCAAAGGAAAUAUUGAAGAACCUCUGCGUCUGAGUUGGUACCUUGUAUGCUCUAGCAGACUUCAUGGUGAUAGAGACUGGUACUGAGGAGAGGGCACCCAUCAUCUGAGGGAGGCCAUUCCUAAACACUAGAGCUGUUAUCUACGCUAAUGCUGCCAAGAUCAGUCUCUACAUCAAGGGGAAGAAGGAGACUUUCCUUCAAGAACAAGACUACACAAACUUCAGAGCAACCCCGACAUCAACCAAGGAAGAGGACCAACAGGAGGAACAGGAACAAGCAAAUGUGGACCGAGUCAGCUAAGAUGGUCACUGCAGUUCAAGGAGGUCAAGAUCGUCGACUCAAGUCACCUUUCUUGAUCAAGAAGGACGACCCUGGUGUUCCAAGAAUCGAAUGCACAAACAAUAGAUACUCUUUUCAGAAGACACUCUACGACACCGGAUCUGACGUCAACAUAAUGGCCGCAGUCACUUAUCAGCUCCUGCAUGGAACCAUGCCCCUACAACCAAGAUACAUUCAGCUUCAAACAAUUUUCAGGUCAUUGACAUGGGAGAAGACAAGUAUGAUCCAUCCACCAUCCUUGGAAGACCGUUCCUAAACACUAUCAAAGCCAUUAUCUAUAUUGGAACCGGAGAAGUCCACAUGCGCUUCCCCUCUGAGAAAGGUACGCCACUACUUUAAUGAUUAUAUAGUUGAAGAUUCUAAGCAGGUCAGGACCAGAAGAAGACAACGCAACCGCAACCAGAGGAGGCAAAUCAUCAAGGACGGACAGGUAGACUACGAAGGAGAAGUGAUAAGGACUGAAGACAUACCGCUUGAACAUAACUGUCCUGAGGAGACCGUAGCACCGAGUCAGGUGUGGAGAGAGAAUAUAGUUACACACGAAGAGGAGGCGCCACCGGAAUCACCGACUACGUCAUCCAGCGAAUCCCAGGACGAUUAAGAAAAUGGAGAGUCCCGCUCGGAGGACUUCAAAACACCGAACGCCUUGCCAAGAGGUAAACUUGGUAGUUAUCCUUUCCCUUUUAAUUAUUUCAAAUAGUUUACUUAGUUAAUCAUGUUCGUAUUUUCCUAGAAAGAAAAUAAAAAUGUGAAAAAAACUGUAAGCCCCAUGUGAGUAGACGAGUGGCAUAAAACCCAUAAGUACAUUCACUGUGGUGGCAUAAAAAAAAAUAAAUAUUUUUCUACUUUAUAAAAACAAAAAUAUAAAAACAGGAAGUAAUAAUUAUUAAGGAGUCUCAAGAUAAUAAAGGCUAGAUAUUUAUGCUAACACUUAAUCAGUUCCACAAGCUUUGUUGUCUAUUUGAGCUCCACAGAAUUUAAGAAUCAAGAAGACUAGCAGACGGAGGACAUUCUAAUCGCUGUCAAAAUACUGCUGACUUUCAAACACACCUCUGCCACCUGCUAGCUACAUCAAGAAAAAUUACGUCAAAAUUCAGCUUGGGGGAGAGCACCCCCAUUUAUCUCGAUAAGUAUUUCUAUCUAUCUUUAUACUUAUACUAUAUUAGAAUAUAAAUACACAUAACUAUGAAAAACCAAAUAAAGAUUUUAUGCUUAUAUAUAUUUUGCUUAGUAUGUUUAAUAAAUAAAUAAAGUGGCUAUGCUAAUCUGUAUCUAAUAAAACUUAAGCAUGGACAUGAUGAAUAGUUGCUCUGCCCAAUUUGCAAAUUUGAAGUUCUCUCUCAAGUUUGGAUAUAACUGUUAUAAUUUAAGGCUUGCUCUAGACCUAAACUUGUGGGAUGAAAACUUGAGCUGAAGUCUAAGUUGUUAACGGAUACGAUAUGGGAAGGUUGAGCUGCUGUUUAUCUGUUCCUAGAGAUGCUAGAAUUCUGGAGAAUUUUAUCUUUGAAAAUCAUUAAAAUGUUGCAUGAUGAGUUCCUGUACGAUGAGAGUUUAAAAUCCUACCACAGCCAUAUAUACAUGCUUGCUAGACUUUGAGCCAUACAUUUACUUUUUACUGCUUAUGAGCAUUGAGUGUGGUCAAGCUGUGUAGACCCUUAGGAGCUUGUCAUGUGGUUAAAAUCAAGAUUCACUUGCACGAUUACUCAUACAUGCUACUUCUACUCCGGAAGUACCAUCCACAUAUAUCCACUCAUUUCUAUCUCCAGUUUUACCCAAAAUUAUUCUACUCCUAAUCCGGGAGAGAAUAGCCAAAAACAUUUUCCUAUCCCUGUUAUUCCCUAUGAAAUAAAUGCUCUAGUUAUUUUGGUUACUACCACUUGCUACAUUAUUUCAGGAGAUGAGUGCUCUAGAAAGAAAAAAAAAAGAGAAAAAAAAAGAAGAAGAAAAAAAAAUAAAUAAUAUACGAGGAAAUAAAAAGGGGCAAGUGCCCGGAACCUCGAAGAAAAGAAAAAGUGAGACGAGAGGUAAAAAUGGACAAGUGUCCGACAGUAGAAUUAGGGGUACAAGAUACCCACCUGAGAGGAAAGAGAAAGAAAAUAUAGAGCAUCUCAUUCUCCUCAUAAAGUUUCAAAAGCAAGGAAGGUAUGUAUCCCCUCAAAGAGCAAAGUAGAAUUAGACUUCCACCACCAUUAUCACCAUCAUCACCAUACACCAUUCACAUGCACAUCUUGAUUUGGCUUAUUGAUUUGUUUCUUUGGAUCCAUGGUUUGACUAUGCAAUAAAUGUCUUGUAAGUAUGUAUACUUUAUCUCCCACCUAUGAGCUCCAGAUAUUAAAGCCUUAUUAGAGUAGGGUGAGAGAGAAGACAAUGUCACUAUGCUUCAUACCACAAAUACCACAUAUCUUGAGAGAAGGCAUAUACCAUCACUGCCUUGGUAAGGAUCCAGAAAUACCACAAAAGAGAGACCUGAGAGAAUCAUACAAGGAAUCUCUGAGUUUUAUUUGAAAAUCUGCAAAAACCCCAGAGCUAUAGCUGAUCAAGAAUAAGAGACAUGGCACUUGACUAGACUGUUCUAUCUUUUAACCACUCAAGACAGAAGUGACGGUUACAAAUCCUAUGGUGUAGGUAAAGUAAGUAAGUUUUAAGUCUUAACAGUUUAUUCUAACUCAGAGAUGAGAUCUUGCUUAAAUGCGUGUGUACUUCUAAGAAAUGAAACCACUGCAGAAACUCUUGAGUUCAUCCUUGCUCAGGGACGAGCAAGAGGUAAGCUUGGGGGAGCUUGUUGACGGUCCUUAAGUAUCAAAUUUAAUUAUCAAAUAAACAAAGAAAAGGAUCCAAAUGAAAUCAACAUCUAGACUUGGGGUUUUAUCUGACAGAAUUCCACGAGUUUUGGUGUUUGUCUAUUUCUGCAGGGGGUUAUCAGGAAAUAAGGAAGAAAGGCCCACAUGUCGGGAUUACAUAGAGAUAUCAACCCACCGUGCAAUUUUCUACCAUCUAGAAGACUCCAGAAGCCACGGGAAGGAAGCGGAGCCCGAAAGGGGCCAGGCCCAGGGCGCCCGCCCCCCUGUUGGAGCCAAAUCAGGACUCUUUCGCCCGGGAUAUUCCACCAACCUAUUGGAUCAAGAAAAACAAAGUACCACCUCGCCUAUCGACCCAAAAACGCAUAGAAGGGGAGGACUAUAUAAGCAAGGCCCCCUGGCCCCUGGAGGAGACAAGAAAUUAUCAUAGAGAUUGAGGGGUGCCCUCGAAGGAAAACCUCUUCUCUAUAUAAUAUUUCUUUUUAGGCUUAGCAACCAAUGUAAGGUAGAAAUAGAUCUUCUAGUUUCUACUAGAUUGAGAGAGAUAGAGUGGAGGUGUAGAUCGGAGGAAGGCCGGCCUGUCGGUGUCUACUCCGAGUUGUACCUACGGGAUCAAGUCUCCUAACCCGAGGCUUGCUUCUAAGAUUCUUCAGUAAUUCGACUUCUAAUACUAGUAAGUUCUUGUUUUAUUGUUCUUUGGUUUAUGAGUUUACUUUAAUCCUCUUCCGGUUGAGUAUUAGAGUAAUCACUUGUUAGCGUAAACGUGGUGUUUAGGCUAGGGUACUCAUAGAUAUCCCCUGACUAGCUGGACCGUGGUAGUAGCGAGGAACGUGACAUUUCCGAGUUACCUUUGUAGAUCACAUCUCGUUAGCAGGACGGGUAGGGUUAUAGGUGCGGGUCGAACAUCCUUUGUGUUGUCUAGAUUCCGUGAGCCUCCCCAAUAGAACAGUAGAUCAUCCUUACCAAGGUUAGAACGAGACUACGGUUGCAGUCUUCUCUAUACAUCACUCACAUCGAGAGACAUUCUUUGUAGCCUAAAGGGAUAGUAGCAAUAGAUUUGGUUAGUCAGAUGCACCCUUUCUCCCAGUGGUAAAAAUAUAAAUACGAUAACUCUGGAUAACCUCCCGGGUGAAAUGCUCACCGAUAUCCGUGCGCUUGCGGAUCAUUUUCUAAUUGCGUUACCAAAUAUCAACACUGACCCUCAAAAACCAAUCUGUCCAUCCUACAGUAGCGAUGGGCCAAGAACGGAAAGUAUCCUUCCACAGAUCCAAAGAAAAGUUCUCGGCCCUAAAAGGAAUCCUGUUGGUUUCUGCGUUAAUGAGAUUGGCUGGAUCUGGAUCCCCUAAUGGGCCAAGGCAUUGGAGAUGUGGUUGAUCGGUGGGGAUAACAAUUUUAUCGGACAAUUCCUAGUGGUUUUGGAGGUAGAGAGGGAGAAACAAAGAAAAAAAAGGAAAUAUUCAGUAAGAUGGAUUGCGGAUGAACAAAGGUGCGAGAAAAGUACGGGAGAUGGAGUGAAGAACUGACCUCCGGAACAAUGAAGUUGACGGCCCUAUUGCCACGGGGAGGACGAUCGGAGGCUCCGGAGUUGGUGAAGAAGAGACGUCGUCGGGGAUCUUGGAGACCUUGAAAGGCGCCGCCGCUGGGAAAGUAAAGUUGGGAUGGUGGAAUGAUGUGAUGGAGAAGGAGUACCUGAGAAGGAACUAUUUAUAGGACAAAACGGGCAAGGGCAAAAUUGACUUAUCUCUUCGCCGUGUCCGUGAAAUCCGAGGGUGCUCAGGUAGAUAUGGCAACUGUUCGCACGGUAAUCAAGGGAUUGUGCAGACGAUUUGACAGGAAGCGGUCAUUAUCCAGAGAUAUUUUACUGUGCAGGAUCUCCUGGUCGGUCCAUCGGCAGCGUCCUGUAACGGUCAUAUUGCCGAUGAGCGAAUAGAGUCGAGAUAGCCGUUUGGGAAGAUAAGAUACGGGUGUCCUGGUCAGUACAUCGGUAAGUCCCUAUAACGGUAAUACUGCCGAUGCAUGACUAAAAUAGAAAUGUCCGUUGAGGGAAGUUGAGGAUUUCGAGGGAUCUGCGGAAGGAUAGGAUCAGAGUUGUUCAGAUUAAGGCUGUCGGUUGCCAGAUUAGGAGCAUUAAUUGCGGAAAAAGACAUCAUUACUGCAGAGAAUUUUGGAGCAUUAAUGAUUCUAUACUCCGAAAUUGGGGGGCAUGUGUUGACACCAUUUUUGGGCACGUGUCCAUGAUCGGUAAAGUGUAGAUCGGCAAGAUAAGGCGGUGGUACUUGGUCUACAGGGAAAGUUGCCAAUGGAGAUGGUUGCCGAUGGAAGGAUGGUUGAACGUGACUAAGUCCAUAGGUGAUGAUGUGCCUGUGCCGAUGGCUGCGACAAGGGAGUUUGCCGAUGAUAUAGGGGAAGAGCCUGGGGGUUGCCGAUCGGUCUGUGGAGGUGUUCCAGUUUGUCACGAGGGGAUAAUUUUAUAUUUUCCUUAAUUAUUUAGAUCGUUCUGUAUACGGAUUAUGUGUAAUUUGGAAUUCGAGUUCUAGUCGUGUCUGGUUGUAGCUCUUUGAGCAGGGUAUAAAUGUAGACCCUAGGGCCUUGUAAUUAGACAUCUAUCAAUCAAUCAAACACAAGUUUUUACUCAUAUUCCAGCAUCUACUUUUCGGCGACUUCGUCAUAUUUCCCUUUUUAUUACGAGUUCUUAGGAAUUCGUCGACUUAAGCUCGACGUGUUCUCGAGUUCCACGUGAGUACCUCUUGGCCGUGACAUCUGGGCGCAUCGCUGUUGUCAGGACCAAAGUAUUCGAGUUACCUUCCUUGCCGAUAGUAAGGUCAAAUCGGCUGGCACGCCUUAACGUUUGAAUCGGGUAUUAGCCCUUUGUGUUUGCAGAUCAGCUUUUGCACCAACAGAGAUAAAAUAUACAUACUUACAAGACAUUUAUUGUAUAGUCAAACCAUGGAUCCAAAGAAACAAAUCAAUAAGUCAAAUCAAGAUGUGCAUGUGUGGCGAAUGAAUGGUGUAUGGUGAUGAUGGUGAUAACAAUGGUGAAAGUCUAAUUCUACUUUUGCUCUUUGAGGGGAUACAUACCUUCCUUGCUUUUUGAAUCUUUUUGAGGAGAAUGAGAUGCCCUUCUUUUUCUUUUCUCUCAGGUGGGUAUCUUGUACCCCUAAUUCUACUGUCGGACACUUGUCCAUUUUUACGUCUCGUCUCACUUCUUUCCUUUCUUUCGAGGUUCCGGGCACUUGCCCCUUUUUAUUUUCUCGUAUCUUUUUUUCUUCUUUUUUUUAGAGCACUCAUCUCUUGAGAUAAUAUAGCAAGUGGUAGUAACAAGAUAACUUGAGCAUUUAUUUCACAAAGAAAAAAACAGAAAUAUUUUUGACUAUUCUUUCCCAGAUUAGGAGUAGAAUAUUUUUGGGUGAUUCUGGAGAUGGAAAUGGAUGGAUAUAUGUGGAUGGUACUUCCGGAGUAGAAGUAGCAUAUAUGAGUGAACGUGCAAGUGAAUCUUGAUUUAACCACAUGACAAGCUCCUAAGGGUCUACACAGCUUGACCACACUCAAUGCUCAUAAGCAGUAAAUAUUAAAUGUGUGGCUCAAAGUCUAGCAAGCAUGUAUAUAUGGCUGUGGUAGGAAUUUAAACUCUCAUCAUACAGGAACUCAUCAUGCAACAUUUUAAAGAUUUUCAAAGAUAAAAUUCUCCAGAAUUCUAGCAUCUCUAGGAACAGAUAAACAGUAGCUCAACCUUCCCAUAUCGUAUCCGUUAACAACUUAGACUUCAGAUCAAGUUUUCAUCCCACAAGUUUAGGUCUAGAGCAAGCCUUAAAUUAUAACAGUUAUGUCUAAACUUGAGAGAGAACUUAAAAUGUGCAAAUUAGGCAGAGCAGCUAUUCAUCAUAUCCAUGCUAGAGUUUUAUUUAGAUACAGAUUAGCAUAGCCACUUUAUUUAUUUAUUAAACACACUAAGCAAAAUAUAUAUAAGCACAAAAUCUUUAUUUGGUUUUUCAUAGUUAUGUAUAAUUAAAUUAUAAUAUAAUAUAAGUAUAAAGAUAGAUAGAAAUACUUAUCGAGAUAAAUGGGGUUGCUCUCCCCCAAGCUGAAUUUUGACGUAAUUUCUCUUGAUGUAGCUAGCAGGUGGCAGAGGUGUAUUUGAAAGUCAGCAGCAUCCUAACAGCGAUUAGAAUGUCCUUCGUCUGCUAGUAUUCUUGAUUCUUAAAUUCUGUGGAGCUCAAAUAGACAACAAAGCUUGUGAAACUGAUUAAGUGUUAGCGUAAAUAUCUAGCCUUUAUCAUGUUGAGACUCCUUAAUAAAUAUUACUCCCUGUUUUUAUAUUUUCGUUUUAUAAAGCAGAAAAAUAUUUAUUUUAUUUUUAUGCCACCACAGUGAAUGUACUUAUGGGUUUCACGCCACUCGCAUACUCACAUGGGGCUUACUGUUUUUUGCAUUUUUAUUUUCUUUUUAGGAUAGUACGAACAUAAUGAACUAAGUAAACUAUUUGAAAUAAUUCAAAGGGAAAGGAUAACUACCAAGUUUACCUCUUGGCAAGGCGUUCGGUGUUUUUAAGUCCUCCGAACGGGACUCUCCAUUUUCUCUUUCGUCUUGAGGUUCGUUGGGUGGCGUAGUCGGUACUUCCGGCAGCGCCUCCUCUUCAUGUAUAGUUAUCUUUAUUUUCCAUACCUGAUUCGGUGCUUCAAUCUCCUCUGGAUAAUUCUGUUUAAACUCUACGUCUUCUGACCUUACAACUUCUCCUUCAUAGUCUGCCCAUCCGUCCUUGAUGAUUUGCCUCCUCUGGUUGCGGUUGCGUCGUUUCCUGACCUGCUUAGAUUCUUCAACGAUAUAGUUAGGGUCAGUAAAAUAACGGCGUACCUUCUCUGAGGGGAAGUGCAUAUGGACUUCUCCGGUUCCAAUGUAGAUGAUUGCUUUAACGGUGCUGCGGAACGGUCUUCCAAGGAUGAUGGGUGGAUCGUAUUCGUCUUCUCCCAUGUCAAUAACUUGAAAGUCUGUGUAGACAAGAUGAUCGUCUAUUUUGACUGGGACAUCAAUUACUGUUCCUUUAACUUCUCGAAAUGUCUGAUCUGCCAUCUGGAGCUGAAUGUAUGUUGGUCUUAGGGGCAUGGUUCCGAACAAGUGCCGAUAGGUGACUGCGGCCAUUAUAUUGACGCCCGAUCCGGUGUCGCAAGUCGUCUUGUAGAAGUUGUAUCCAUUUAUGGAGCAAUAGAUGCUUGGCAUUCCUGGGUCGUCCUUCUUGGUCAAAAACAGUGAUUUAAGUUGAUGAUCUUGGCCUCCAUGAACUGCAGUGACCAUCUUCGCUGACUCAGUCCACACUUGCUUAUUCCUAUUCCUCCUGUUGGUCCUCUUCCUUGAUUCACGUCUGGAUUGAUCUGGAAUUUGUGUAGUCUUGUUCUUGAAGAAAAAUGUCUCCUUCUUCCCUUUGACGUAGAAACUGAUCUUGGUAGCACUAGCGUAGAUGAUAGCUCCCGUGGUGUUCAAGAAUGGCCUCCCUAAGAUGAUGGGUGCCCUCUCAUCAUUUCCGGUCUCUACCACUACGAAGUCUGCUGGGGCAUACAAGGUACCAACUCGGACACAAAGGUUCUUCACUAUUCCUUUUGGAAAAGUUAUCGUCUGAUCUGCAAACUGCAAACACAUGGUUGUUUCUAAUAAAGGAUAUGUAAAGAAUUUCUCAUAGAGUACCCUGGGUAUAAUGUUGACGCUAGAGCCAAAGUCGCAGAGUGCUUCUGGAACGUCCACCAUGCCGAUGGAGAUCGGGAUGACGGGGCGUCCUGGAUCGCCUCUCUUGACCGGCAGAAGGUCAGUAGAGAAUUCAGUGACGAGGUUACUCCAAUUACCUACAUCAAACAUGUCUACAAGAUUUGCAGAUUCUAAUCCUUCCGGUUGUGAUGGUAUACCGGGGUUAGUAGUAGGAACAGCAGCAGCUAUUUGAUUUAACUGAGAUUCAAUCAUUUUAUUAAAGCUAAUUUGAUUCUUGAUGGCAGUAGAGAAAUUAUCCAUUCUAUUAUUUAUAUUUUCUAGCAUUUUAUCAUUAGAUGCCAAUUUCUUAGAUAGGUUAUCCAUUAGCUUUCCUUGAUUAGACACUAACUCUCUCAACGAUGGAAAAUUAUUAUUAUUGUUGUAAGAAUUGUUACCUUGAUAAUUACCUGAGUAGUUAGGCCUCUGUUGAUUCCAACCUUGAUUUUGUUGAGGACGGUUGUAGUAGUUGUUGUUAUUAUUGUUGAUGUAGUUCACAUCCUCGAGCAUCUCAGGGCAGUGGUUGCCUGAGUGUCCAGUAUCUCCACACUCCUCACAAGUCAUGUGAGAGUCGUAGAUGUGCAUAACUUCUUUCUUGUCUCCAGCUCUCUCAUCGAGCUUCUUCAUGAGCAGGUCUAGCUUUGCAGACAGCAUGUCUACCUCCUUGAGCUGAUGCAUACCUCCACCUCUCUUGCGUGUCUGGGUCCUCUCUUCAUUCCAGCCUUGGUUGGACGCCAUCUUCUCCACAAGAGCUGUGGCUUGUGGUAUAGUAAGUGAUAAGAAUGCUCCUCCAGCUGCAGCAUCCAUGGUCUCUCGGGCACUGUUGCCGAGCCCAUGAUAAAACUUCUGCAUUAGUAGCCAACUCUCCAUUCCAUGAUGGGGACAUUCUAGGAUGUAGUCUUGAAAGCGCUCCCAUGCUUCUGGAACAGAUUCAUCAUUUUGUUGCUGAAAACUUGUAAUCUUCCCACGGAGAGCAUUGGUCUUGCCCAUGGGAAAGAACUUAGCCAGGAAGUUUGUUGAGCAGAGUGCCCACAUAGUAUUCUUCUCCUUUGUAGCGUAGAACCACUGCUUCGCUCUUCCUAACAGUGAGAAUGGGAAGAGGCGAAGUAGUAUAGCAUCUUUGGAAACUCCUGAUAUGGUGAAUCUGUUGCAAAUCUCUAGGAAGUGUUGGAGAUGAGCACUAGCAUCUUCAUGUGCCUUCCCACAGAACUGGUUGGAUUGCACCAUGUUGAUAAGUCCAGGCUUGAGCUCAAAGUUGCCAUCGAUCUCUGCAGCUGGUCCAGUGCGGAUGUUGUCCGUAGUGGGAGCUGAGAACUCGCGGAUUGAUUUACUCGCCAUGGUUUCGAACUCUGAAGACAAGUUCCGGUGAUCUUCUUGAUUGAAUGAAGCUUCUUGCUGAAGUGUUGAUGAUCUUUUCUUGAGCUUGGCUCUUGUUUUUCUGAAUAAUGCUUCGGGAUUGUCAACAAAAUUUCCUAGAAGAUGUCUUCUAUUCAUACAUUCCCCUGCAUAAGAUAAAAUAGAAAAAUAUCAGGGUAAAACUGUAUGAGAGAAUAAAUAAGCUCAAUCAUAUUAGUGAUGCGAAUGAUAACUCAAAAUCCUUUAUUCCAUUCCUGAUUAGUAAUCAACCUUCCCCGGCAACGGCGCCAAAAAUGCUUGUUGGGUAUUCUUAACAUCAUUACCAAAAGUAGACUAAGUUCUCUAAAUCUAGUAACGGUGCUAAAAAUGCCAAACCUAUCCCUCACACCACUUAAGUCAAGUUGUCAUCCCCAGCAUGACAUGAGAGACGCGGUAUUGAAAUAUGCAAUUGCUCUUCUAAAUAUAUAAUGAAUGGGAUCUGCAAGCGCACAGAUUAAUACCGAUGUAGCAUUUUAACCGGGAAGUAUUCCAGGUAUCGUUAUUUAUAUUUUUACCACUGGGAAGGGAUUAACAAUCAUCAAUAUUGAUUACAGAAUAGAAUAUGAGUUUGAGCAUCUAUCAUUGCAUGUAUAAUUGAGAACAUUAUAUCUAACUGUCACAUAAAGGAUAUAUGAAAUAAUGAAUAGUGACAAAGAUAAGUAAUCUGAUCUAGCCACAUAAUAAAUAUGAUAAGCACCUCAAUUAGAUACUCUAGAAAGUCAUUAGCAUGGUAUUAAAAUGAACUACAAGAAUAUGCCCUAAGUUAUUCUCAACUAUAUAGUCUAGCAUUAUCAUAAUUAGUGCAAGCAUACUUAGCAAUCAUUGCGAGACAAGACUACGCCCAUGCAUAGUGAUAUUAGCAAGGUAAAUGAGAAACAUAGCAAUCACUCCCCUGUAAUAAUGUUGCUCUGCCAGCCCAAUACACGAGAGGGGGACUAUAUAAGAAUCAAUGAAGCUGUCACUAUCACGAACUACCCCACGAUCUGGCAUAUUGGGUACAGUCGCAGAUAAAUACGGUAUAAGCACCACGCCUACACAAUAUCUAUCAUUUACCCAUGGAUCCAAUGGAUAAACGCUAUACGAUCCUAAGCAUGUAUAUAGAUCCAAUCUAACUAAGCCAAGUACAUAACUAUGAUAAACUAAGAACAAUAUAAUCUUGAAUAUAAGCAAGUAGAGCAAAGUCAUAAGCAAUAUAUUGAAGUAGAACAAAGUCAUAUUCAUAAUACUGAAGAACAAAGAUAAUUAGAAGAACAAUUAGAAGCACAAUUAGAGAAUUACCAAGAAUCCUCUUGACAGAUCCGGAAACCAAUCGAAGAUUGACUCCUUCUAGUUCUAAUCCUAUGUAGCUAUGCUAAUCUAGAUAUCUAAUUGAUGUGGUGGCUCUAAUCUUGAUCAGAGGCUUCUUCUCCCUUGAAGAAUAAUGAAUUAGGGUUGAGAGGCUCUCUCCUCCAGGGGCCAGGGGGUCUGGUUUUAUAGUCCCUUCAAGUGAAUAUGGGCCGUUGGAUCAAACCGACAUAGAUUGUAUGGUUUAGAUUCAUCCUUUAGGUCGGUGGAGAUCUCCCACGAAGCAGAGUCCUGAUUGGACUCAGGGAGAGGGCGGGCGCCCAGGGGAACAGGGCGGGCGCCCUGCCUCUGGCUCCGUUUCCUCUUCGCUUCGGUCUCGUGGCUUCUGGAGUCUUCUAGAUGUAAGAUAAUUGCGCGGCACGUUAAUAUCUCUAUGUAAUCCCGACGUGUGGGCCUUUCUUCCGUAUUUCCUGAUAACCCCCUGCAGAAAUAGACAAACACCAAAACUCGUGGAAUUCUGUUAGAUAAAACCCUAAGUCUAGAUGUUGAUUUCAUUUGGAUCCUUUUCUUUAUUUAUUUGAUAAUUAAAUUUGAUACUUAAGGACCGUCAACAAAGAGCAAAAACCCUGCUCAUCAAAACAGACUCCCAGGUGGUUGCAGAAUAGGUGGAGAAGGAAUACUUAACACACAACUCCGAGUUAGCAAAAUAUUUGGCAAUGGUGAGGUGUCUGAAGCGAAGGUUCAAGGGAUUCACUCUACAAUACAUUCCAAGAGCUUCUACCAGAAGGAACCUUCUACCAGAUUCUUGAAGCGCCUGCAACUGAAUCGUUACCAAAGGCUUUCCACUCAGUCCUACUCACAGAAGGCGAUGACUGGAGGCAGGCAAUAGCAGAUUCAGUCAAUGGCAAAACAGCCGCAAAAGACGAAGUGGUAACAAAAAGAAUGGAAGCAAGAGCAAGGAAUUACACCAUCAUUGACGAAAACUCAUACAAAAAAGGUGUAGUUCAAUCUUUGCUGAAAUGCAUAUCACAAACUGAGGGCAGAGAACUCCUGGAAGAAAUACAUGCGGAUCACACAUUGGCCCCCAUGCGUUGUUUGCCAAAGCACUGAGACAAGGUUUUUAUUGGCCAAAUCACAUCAAAGAUGCAGAAGAGAUAGUGAAAAUCUGCAGAGCUUGCCAAACCUUCUCACCAGUUCAGUCGGGACCUUUGGCACCAACUCAGCUCAUAUCUCCAUCAUAGCCGUUGCAAAGAUGGGGAAUGGACCUGGUAGGACCACUGCCAACCGCCCAAGGAGGAAACAAAUUCACUGUCGUCGCCAUAGAAUACUUCACAAGAUGGAUCGAAGCGAAGCCACUGGCAUCCAUAACCUCAGAAACAAUAAAGAAAUUUUUCUAGUAGAACAUAGUCUAUGGAUUUGGAGUCCCAAGCUUGCUCAUAGUUGACAAUGGGAAGCAAUUCGAUUCAGACAAAUUCAAAGAGUUUUGCUGUCACAUAGGAACCAAGAUCGCCUUUGCGUCAGUCUACCACCCAGAAUCAAAUGGAGCAGUAGAGAGAGCAAACAAAAUAAUAUUCUCCGUAAUCUCUAAAACACUGCUCAACCUACGAAAGGGAAAAUGGGUCGAGGAGCUGCCAAGAGUUGUGUGGUCUCACAACACAACAGUUUCAAGAGCUACCGGGUUCACACCAUUCAAGCUCUUGUACGGGGAAGAGGCAAUGAUGCCCGAAGAAAUCAAACACCAAAGUCUACGGUCCACGAAGCAGCUGCUGGCCGAAGAUGAAGAGUAUUGUAAGGAAACUCUGGAAUCAACAAGAUUGGAAGCAGUGGAAAAUAUCAUCAAGUACCAGCAAGAAACCAAAAAGUGGAGAGACCACAAGGUAGUACAAAAAACAUACAGAAUGGGGACUUGGUUCUCAAAAAAAAGGGAGAUCACCCAAACACCGGGAAUUUGCAACCCAAGUGCGAAGGACCUUACACAGCAAUACAAGUAGGAAGGUCAGGAUCCUUCUACCUCAAAGACCUAGAAGGAAGAACCUCCACCAACACAUGGAACGUCGACAAUCUAGGAAGAUUUUACAUUUAAAUGUAAGGACGACCCUCGCGGAAUAAGCGAAGGUGCCCAUGUUUUUUAGAUCCACUUCUUUAUUCCUUUUUAUCUACUUUUUUGCAAACCAAGGUCUGUACUCUUUUCCUCACAGGGGUACUCCUAGUGCAUGUGAGGUUUUUAACGAGGCAGAACCUAUGUAAAAACCUCUGAGAUAUAAAGAGGACUUACCCCAGUAACAAAAUUCAAAAGUCAAAAAACAGCUAGCAACGGAGCUGUAGUAUUCGACAAAGCAUCAUGCGAAAACAAAGACCCUCCGUAGCUUACAGCCGAAGGCUAAGGAAGCUCGGAACGUCCUCAAUGGUGAAAAAACACCAAAGCCUUAGCAAAAGACCUAGCCAACAGCCGGGCAGCAAGGAGAACACGGUCAAAAGUGAAAAAAAGCCCUGUCCACAUCAGGCAUCAGAACAUGACCAGAAAUCAAACCUGACAAAGACUUGAAAGGCAAUCAGGCAUCAGGAACCUCCAAACCUCCGCCAAAAAGUGCCAAAGGUAUUACCAAAAGUAUCACAGAGACCUACGCAACCUUCGACGAAAUAUCACCGAAGGUAUCAUAUGACCUGAAGAAGGUCACUACCAAAUAACCUCCACCAAUAAUAUACGAAGGUAGCUCAAAAGCACAAACAAAAUAGACAACAUUGGCAAUCCCAACGACCGCAACAACCAAUCAUAAACCAACAAUAAACCCUAACCUAACAACGUACAACAAAUUAAUGCAAGCAAGCCUAUAAAACCAGGCGCAACAAGACCCCAACCCUCAGUAGGGAUCAGUUCACCAAGAACCAAACAGCCAGUGCAAGCCCAAAGCACACAAAGAAAAACAGCUAGGCCACCAUGGAAGCGGGAGUAAGCCUCAUAGCCACCCAAAAACUUGGUAUUGCACGAAGCUUCGUAAGAUCAGAGCCACGGCAUUGUGAUGAACAACGACCACAGGGUCGUGUACUGCCACAGUAAAAGCACUGGAAGUCAGUAUCGGAGGUUACUGAAGGGUAUCGCACGAAGUCUCGUAACAUCCCCUCGGAACCUCCGACCAAAAAAUACGAAGGUUACCUACGCCAAUGCUUCAUCGGAGCCAAAGAACGGCAAAGAUGAGCACAAUCCAACAAAGGCACCUUCGAAACAAGCUAAUAGAAGGAGCUAAGGUCAAGGAGCAACAAUCCUACGCACAUUAGAGAUCAACCAGCGCCUUCACAACAUUGAGCAGUAAGCAUAAAAUCACAACAGCAACACAAAGAUCCUUAGGGUCAACAACACUACGACGUUGCGGUAUGCUUAGCAAAAGAAUCCGAAGGUUGUAACAAAAAGGGUCACAAUGAGUGCGAAGGUUGUAGUAGAAAAGAGUCAUAAUGAAAAAGUAUUCUUUAUUCAUAUCAGCAAUAUGUACACCAGUUAUUUACAUCAAAAGGGAAGACAAAAAAUCUAACCUAACAUCCUUCGUCAACAAAACUGCCGAAGGAUCUAAGAAUCACGUACAAAUCUCACACAUGAAUCAUCAAAAGUCCUAAACUCACUACAAUAGUCACGAGCGAGAAAAUCAACUAAGUCGUCACCAGUGCGCGUAGGACACAUAUGACGCCACCAAUCCAGCAAGCAACCCCUCGCGUACAUAUCACCAUGUUUGAACGUCACAGGGGUAACAUAACCUCCUUCGACAAAAUUCAGAGGAAGGACAUCACACCUAGGGGGAGACUUGACAACCUACAUCAAAAAGUUAGCAUAAAUAAAAAUCAAGCAAAGGUCCCAAUUAAAACAAGUCUUAAGCUCUCGAACCUUCGUGCGCCCAGGAAGAUAGAGCUCAGCCAUAAGAUCCGGAUCUUUCGGCAGCCAAGACACCCCAUCAUCCUCACCAAAAAUGCGAAGGAUCGGGUGCGAAGGCUGCAAAAAACAAAUCAGAAUAAGUCAGAAAACUAUAUAACCAAAAAAAAUAAAAAAGGGAGAAUGGAACAACCACCUAAGUCAGAGGCCAGGACCCUCGGUACACAAGUGAACGAAGAAACUGAGAUCGUUCGUCGUCAAUAUUAAAUUCGAAAAAGUCAAACAUAUCUACUAUGCUCAUGUUAGGAAAGGCAGUUCGCCAAUAUUCCCAUAAGUCACCCAAAACAUAAAUUCCAUUGAAAAAAAAUGGAAAGCGGAACCUCAUAAGGAUCCUGCGCAGGUCCUCCGCUAGAGACCUGCGCAGGAUAAAGUGUAAAAUAAACAAAUUCAUUCAAGACCAAGUCAAUAUAUUACAUAACCAACAUGUUCUUACAAAUUAAUUAAACCUUCGUCCUUUUUACAAAAAGCGUCACUUAGAAGCAGACGCAAAGACUAAAAAAUCCCUAAAAAACCAAAAAACCCUCACACCUGAGGCGGAGGAGCGUCAACUCCCUCUGGAGCUUUGGUACCAGCUUCAGGAUCCUCGGUGUGGGGCUGGACUGAAGGAUGCGCUCCACUGGAAGGACGUGAAGGACCGGCCUUUUCAACCUUCGUUCUUCUUAGCAAGCUCCUACAAAAGCAAAGUCAUGAUACACAAGAGCGAGAACCACACAGUAUUCAAAGAACAAAAAAACGUACCUCAGCACGGCGAGCCUCUGCCAUCUUCUUCGCCUCAGCCCACCCAAACCUAAUCCAGAACGAACUGAUAAAGUUCCGGACAGACUUGCGUAGGCCGGAGGUAGCUUCGCAAACAUCUUCAGCCGAGGAAAAUCCUUCCUUCGUAACCGCCUUACCAUGAGAGCAACCUCCGCGGUGAAGGAGCCAAGCGAAGGACUUAACCUCCGCCAAAGCCCCAAAAUCAAUAGCUCCACCAACAAAGUCGGGGAGCAUGUUGAUAUGGGACUUCAGCCACGUAAGGCUAACACCAACGUCACCGUCGGUUGGGAGGGCAGCGGUGGAACCUCCGAACUGCGCCAGCGAGCCGGAGUAAAGUCCAAUGACGUUCGCAGCCUCCGCCUCCGCCUUCUGCAGGUGAGUCUACAUCACAGCUACAGACGCGCGCUCAGCAUCAAGCUCCUUGUGAAGGCGGUUGGCGAUGUCAUCAGCUUUCUCGGCCCGCUGGACAGCCAAGUCCCUAGAUCUCCCCACUUCGGAGGCAUUCUUCCGAAGGAUGGCCGCCUCCGCCUCGAUCUCCUCCUUCUCCUUCUUAAGACAGUCAACUCCAACUUUCAGAGCAUCCCUCUCCUUCCUCAAAGCCUCAACCUCCUGUCGGGUCGAAGAAAAGUUCUUAACUUCCUGCGAGCCUUCUCAGAUUCAAGGGUUUCAUUCUCCCUCUUCAAAGCCUCAAUGGCUUCAUUGCGACUAAUCACCUCUCGGGAGCAUCGCUCCUUCAAGGCGGCAGCCAUAUGUGACCCUGAUCAGAACAAUAAAAAAUCAGAACCUCUGAAUGAAAAACGUCCGAAGGAAAAUGAAACAAAAUCCUAACUUACAAGGUUGUGAUGCUCAAACUACACGCGACGCAGCGUGUCGUAGUCCAUAUCGCGAAGCUUCCGCCGGAAACGAUCUGAUGAACAAAAAAUAGUAAGAAAGAAAAAUAAGACAAAAUAAAAAACAUAAUAGACGGAGGCUAGAAAACAGACCUCUGAUGAAAGAAUGAACCUCACGCAGUGCACUAGUCCAACCUGUGAUCAAAAGAUCAGAAGCACCUACGCAAGAUCAAAGCAUGAUCAAAGGCACCCAGGGGUAACUAACUCACUCAAAAAAAUGCCAAUAUACAAUCUCUAAGACUUACCAGGACCAAUAACAUUAGCGGGUGAAGGCCUGCUACCUAGCGCAGAUGGCGCAGGAAAACGAGGCGGAGGAGCAACAAGUCCCUCCUAUGCAAUGCUAGCUCCUCUGGCCAACUCCUCCGCGCUCGCAAUCUCCACGAUAACAUCUUCUAAAGAUGUACGAAGGACAAAAACUCAAACUUUACAAAUAUGCUAAAACAUCAUAAGCAACAAAGUCAAACAACUUACCCAUAUACAGAGAGUUAAUCCCUUCGCCAGUUGGUUGCGGGGGCUCAACCGCCUUCUUUAUCCUUCGGACAGAAGCGGACUCAGCUUCCUCACUAGAGUCAUCCUGCCCUUCAUUCGGCGGCGACGCUCCUCUAGCAGGAACCUCCCACGGAGGACUAGCCCCAGGGGCCUCCGCAUCGAAGGAAUCCUCCCCAAGUAGCGACACGAAGGGCAAGCGGGCGGACGAAACUCCCCGAGAGACUUCACCUUGACGACCGCCAGUACCAACAGUCGUAGGUUCAGCCCACGCUUCCUCCGCAGGCUGAGAUUCCACCGAGUUGGACUCGGCCGCGGAAGAGCGAUCGGAGGAAGACUCAAUUGGAACCUCCACUAUAACCUCCGCCUUCCGUUUCUUCGCCAACGCCUUUGUAGCCCUGCCUCCCCUCCUCUUCCUUGACUCCACAGCAGCAACAUGCUUGGAGGCAUCUUUCCUCUUCUCCAAGCUGAGGAGCAUGUCUGGAGGAACGACGUACUCAUCAUGUUUGAUCCCAAGUUCUUCAAAAACGCGGUUGAACCGUGGCAUUGUCCCCAGCUUAGUCUUCCGCUGGACAUACUCCUUCUCAGAUAUCUUCCCCACUAUCCUACGAGCAGAAGCUUCGACACGAUCGAGGAAGGAUUCCUUGGUUUCGUCCUCCGGCAACCCCCUGUUGAAUUGGGGAAAUGGGAUCCCCUUCGGAGGACCGAAAACAGGCACCUGAACCAUCUCAAUGGUGAACUCCUCGUUCCUGUGGCCAAGAGGCCAGAAGUCAGAGGCCACCAUCUCCUUGACCAAGUCGCGCCCACCUGAAUAGCGGCACGCCAGCGCGAAGGCCUUGUCACAGGCAAUGCGCUCCUCUGUUAUCUCUAACGAAGGAUCAACCUUGUAGAGUGGCUUCAACUCCUUCAUCUUUGAUGUGUAGGGGAAAACAUUUUCCACCUUCCCAUCUUUGGGUGCGUGAAGCCAGGCUUUCAUCCAAUCCUUCUCCCACUUCCCCUUUUGCCAAAAGGAGAUCUCGCAGCGAGCGUCGGGCAUUGUACGCCACGGCAUGAACGUGCAGCUUCCAAACUGUGCGAUGAAUUCCUCUCCUUCAGCAUUCUUCACCUUCUUUGGCUACCAUUGGAGCUCAAAGUAGGAGCAAAAAGUGUCAAUAUGGGGCACAGCUCCGUAGGAUUCGCAAGCCCAUGCAAACUUGCUUAGUGUGAGGAUCCCGUUUGGGCUAAAGUGUUGCAACUCGACAUUGAAAGCCUCCAUCACUUUGCAAAGAAAGGCGUACGGAGGAAUGCAUAGGCCACAGGUAAAGAAAUCCCUGAACACAACGGCAUACUCCUCCUUAGGUGCAGGCACUGUCUGGCCUGCAGGAGGAGCCUUCGCACGACCCUCCUUGAAAAAGCCGACCUCAACCAUGUCCGCUAUAUCCUGCGGCUUGAUAGUGGACUCCCCAAACUCAAAGGUGAUGGCAGCCAUGGAUUCAAAGUCCUUCGCACUUAUCAAAUUCCCAACAGAAGCUUCGACGUCAGAAAGAGUUUCCUCCAGAUCUUGAGCAAUGGCCACCUCAAUCAUCUAGUCUUCAAACCGCCGCAGCCAACCUCCGGAUCUCACACUCAGAAAAUUCUGCAAAGGACCAGAGAAAUCUGCCCUAGAAGGACAGGGCGAAGGAAGAAAAGCCACCGUAGGACCUCCGCAAACACUUAGAAACUAAAUCAAACACCACCUAAUUCCAACUCACUCAGGCAACUCGAAGUCUAAGUCAAAGCUGGCGAAGGAAACUCAGCAGGCGAUGAAAGUCAAGUGUGAGGACGCACAUCUCCCCUGCACCCCCUUUUAUAGGGGGGCUGCAACCUCGCGACUGUUACGAUUCCCGGUUUCCAACGGCUAUAAGCGGAGGACUCGCAGCGACCGUUGCGUUUCCCCACGCCCAACGGCUACCAGCGAAGAAAAACGAAAAUCCAACGGCUACUCGCGCAAAUUUCGCCGCCUAUCAACGACUCCUCGCUCAUCCUUCACUACUCGAUCGAUGGAGGAUAAACCCUCCAAUGACCACAAACGCAAAAAAACACCUAACAUACGAUGGAGGAAACUUGCAAAAAAGCUAGUUGCCUGUUGACGGUCCUUAAGUAUCAAAUUUAAUUAUCAAAUAAAUAAAGAAAAGGAUCCAAAUGAAAUCGAGAUCUAGACUUAGGGUUUUAUCUGACAGAAUUCCACAAGUUUUGGUGUUUGUCUAUUUCUGCAGGGGGUUAUCAGGAAAUAUGGAAGAAAGGCCCACAUGUCUGGAUUACGUAAAGAUAUUAACGUGCUGCGCAAUUAUCUUACAUCUAGAAGACUCCAGAAGCCACGAGACCGAAGCGGAGGCGAAACGGGGCCAGAGACAGGGCGCCCGCCCUGCCCCUGUGUCCAAUCAGGACUCUGCUUUGCGGGAGAUCUCCACCGACCUAAAGGAUGAAUCUAAACCAUACAAUCUAUGUCGGUUUGAUCCAAGGGCCCAUAUUCACUUGGAGGGACUAUAAAACCAGACCCCCUGGCCCCUGGAGGAGAGAGCCUCUCAACCCUAAUUCAUUGUUCCAUUAAGGGAGAAGAAGCCUCUGAUCAAGAUUAGAGCCACCACAUCAAUUAGAUAUCUAGAUUAGCAUAGCUACAUAGGAUUAGAACUAGAAGGAGUCAAUCUUCGAUUGGUUUCCGGAUCUGUCAGGAGGAUUCUUGGUAAUUCUCUAAUUGUGCUUCUAAUUGCUUUCUAAUUAUCUUUGUUCUUCAAUAUUAUGAAUAUGACUUUGUUCUACUUCAAUAUAUUGCUUAUGACUUUGCUCUACUUGCUUAUAUUCAAUAUUAUAUUGUUCUUAGUUUAUCAUAGUUAUGUACUUGGCUUAGUUAGAUACGAUCUAUAUACAUGCUUAGGAUCGUAUAGCGUUUAUCCAUCGGAUCCAUGGGUAAAUGAUAGAUAUUGUGCAGGCGUGGUGCUUAUACCGUAUUUAUCUGCGAUUGUACCCAAUAUGCCAGAUCGUGGGUUGGUUCGUGAUAGUGACAGCUUCAUUGAUUCUUAUAUAGUCCCCCUCUCGUGUAUUGGGCUGGCAGAGCAACAUUAUUACAGGGGAGUGAUUGCUAUGUUUCUCAUAUUCCUUGCUAAUAUCACUAUGCAUGGGCGUAGUCUUGUCUUGCAAUGAUUGCUAAGUAUGCUUGCACUAAUUAUGAUAAUGCUAGACUAUAUAGUUAAGAAUAACUUAGGGAAUAUUCUUGUAGUUCAUUCUAAUACCAUGCUAAUGACUUUCUAGAGUAUCUAAUUGAGGUGCUUAUCAUAUUUAUUAUGUGGCUAGAUCAGAUUAGUUAUCCUUGUCACUAUUAUUAUUUCAUAUAUCUUUUAUGUGACACUUAUCCCUGUAUGAAGAGUUAGAUAUAAUAUUCUCAAUUAUACAUGCAAUGAUAGAUGCUCAAUCUCAUAUUUUAUUCUGUAAUCAUUAGUGAUGAUUUCUAAUCCCUUCCCAGUGGUAAAAAUAUAAAUAACGAUACCUGGAAUACUUCCCGGUUAAAAUGCUACAUCGGUAUUAAUCUGUGCGCUUGCAGAUCCCAUUCAUUAUUUAUUUAGAAGAGCAAUUGCAUAUUUCAAUACCACGUCUCUUAUAUCAUGCUGGGGAUGACAACUUGGCUUAAGUGGUGUGAGGGAUAGGUUUGGCAUUUUUGGCACCGUUGCUAGAUUUAGAACUUCGUCUACUUUUGGUAAUGAUGUUAAGAAUACCCAACAAGCAUUUUUGGCGCCGUUGCCGUGGAAGGUUGAUUACUAAUCAGGAAUGGAAUAAAAGAUUUUGAGUUAUCAUUCGCAUCACUAAUAUGAUUGAGCUUAUCUAUUCUCUCAUACAGUUUUACCCCGAUAUUUUUCUAUUUUAUCUUAUGCAGGGGAAUGUAUGAAUAGAAGACAUCUUCCAGGAAAUUUUGUUGACAAUCCUGAAGCAUUAUUCAAGAAGACGAGAGCCAAGCUAAAGAAAUCAUCAACACUUCAGCAAGAAGCUUCAUCCAAUCAAGAAGAUCACCGGAACUUGUCUUCAGAGUUCGAGGCCACGGCGAACAAAUCAAUCCGCGAGUUCUCAGCUCCCACUACGGACAACAUCCGCACUGGACCUACUGCAGAGAUCGAUGGCAACUUUGAGCUCAAGCCUGGACUUAUCAACAUUGUGCAAUCCAACUAGUUCUUUGGGAAGGCACACGAAGAUGCUAGUGCUCAUUUACAACACUUCCUGGAGAUUUGCAACACAUUCACCAUACAAGGAGUUUCCAAAGAUGCUAUACUACUUCGCCUCUUCCCAUUCUCACUGUUAGGAAGAGCGAAGCAGUGGUUCUACACUACAAAGGAGAAGAAUACUACCUGGGCACUCUGCUCAACAAACUUCCUGGCAAAGUUCUUUCCCAUGGGCAAGACUAAUGCUCUCCGUGGGAAGAUUACAAGUUUUCAGCAACAAAAUGAUGAAUCUAUUCCAGAAGCAUGGGAGCGCUUUCAAGACUACAUCCUAGAAUGUCCCCAUCAUGGAAUGGAGAGUUGGCUAUUGAUGCAGACAUUCUAUCAUGGGCUCAGUAAUAGUGCCCGAGAGACCAUGGAUGCUGCAGCUGGAGGAGCAUUCUUAUCACUUACUAUACCACAAGCCACAGCUCUUGUGGAGAAGAUGGCGUCCAAUCAAAGCUGGAAUGAAGAGAGGACCCAGACACGCAAGAGAGGUGGAGGUAUACAUCAGCUGAAGGAGGUAGACAUGCUGUCUGCAAAGCUAGACCUGCUCAUGAAGAAGCUCGACGAUAGAGCUGGAGACAAGAAAGAAGUUAUGCACAUCUACGACUCUCACAUGAAUUGUGAGGAGUGUGGAGACACUGGACACUCAGGCAACCACUGCCCUGAGAUACUUGAGGAUGUGAACUACAUCAACAACAACAACUACUACUACUACAACCGUCCUCAACAAAAUCAAGGUUGGAAUCAACAGAGGCCUAACUACUCAGGUAAUUAUCAAGGUAACAAUUCUUACAACAACAAUAAUAAUUUUCCACCUUUGAGAGAGUUAGUGUCUAAUCAAGGAAAGCUAAUGGAUAACCUAUCUAAGAAAUUGGCAUCUAAUGAUAAAAUGCUAGAAAAUAUAAAUAAUAGAAUGGAUAAUUUCUCUACUGCCAUCAAAAAUCAAAUUAGCUUUAAUAAAAUGAUUGAAUCUCAGUUAAAUCAAAUAGCUGCUGCUGUUCCUACUACGAACCCCGGUAUACCAUCACAACCGGAAGGAUUAGAAUCUGCAAAUCUUGUAGACAUGUUUGAUGCAGGUAAUUGGAGUAACCCCGUCACUGAAUUUUCUACUGACCGUCUGCCGGUCAAGAGAGGCGAUCCAGGACGCCCCGUCAUCCCGAUCUCCAUCGGCAUGGUGGACUUCCCAGAAGCACUCUGUGACUUUGGCUCCAGUGUCAAUAUUAUACCCAGGGUACUCUAUGAAAAAUUCUUUACAUAUCCUUUACUAGAGACAACCAUGUGUUUGCAGUUUGCAGAUCAGACGAUAACUUUCCCAAAAGGAAUAGUGAGGAACCUUUGUAUCCAAGUUGGUACUUUAUAUGCCCCAGCAGACUUCAUAGUGGUAGAGACCGGAAAUGAGGAGAGAGCACCUAUCAUCCUAGGGAGGCCAUUCUUGAACACCACGGGAGCUAUCAUCUACGCCAGUGCUGCCAAGAUCAGUUUCUACGUCAAAGGGAAGAAGGAGACAUUUUUCUUCAAGAAUAAGACUACACAAAUUCAAGAUCAAUCCAGACGUAAAUCAAGGAAGAGGACCAACAGGAGAAACAGGAACAAGCAAGUAUGGACCGAGUCAGCUAAGAUGGCCACUGCAAUCCAUGGAGGCCAAGAUCAUCAACUUAAGUCACCGUUUUUAACCAAGAAGGACGACCCAGGAAUGCCAAGCAUCUACUGCUCCAUAAAUGGAUAUAACUUCUACAAGACGAUUUGCGACACCGGAUCAGGCGUCAACAUAAUGGCCGCAGUCACUUAUCGGCUCUUGUUCGGGACCAUGCCACUAAGACCAACAUACAUUCAGCUCUAGAUGGCAGAUCAGACAUUUCGAGAAGUUAAAGGAAUAGUAACUAAUGUCCCAGUCAAAAUAGACGAUCACUUUGUCUACACAGACUUUCAAGUUGUUGACAUGGGAGAAGAUGAGUACGAUCCACCCAUCAUCCUUGGAAGACCGUUUCUUAGCACCGUUAAAGCAAUCAUCUACAUUGGAACCGGAGAAGUCCAUAUGCACUUCCCCUCAGAGAAGGUACGCCGUUAUUUUACUGACCCUGACUAUAUCGUUGAAGAAUCUAAGCAGGUCAGAAAGAGACGCAACCGCAACCAGAGGAGGCAGAUCAUCAAGGACGGAUGGGCAGACUAUGAAGGAGAAGUUGUAAGGUCAGAAGACGUUGAAUUUAAACAGAAUUAUCCAGAGGAGAUUGAAGCACCGAGUCAGGUAUGGAAAAUAAAGAUAACUAUACAAGAAGAGGAGGCGCUGCCGGAAGUACCGACUACGCCACCCAACGAACCUCAGGACGAUUAAGAAAUUGGAGAGUCCCGUUCGGAGGACUUAAAAACACCGAACGCUUUGCCAAGAGGUAAACUUGGUAGUUACCCUUUCCCUUUCAGUUAUUUCAAAUAGUUUACUUAGUUAAUCAUAUUCACACUAUCUUAAAAAGAAAAUAAAAAUGUUAAAAACUAUAAGCCCCAUGUGAGUAGACGAGUGGCAUAAAACCCAUAAGUACAUUCACUGUGGUGGCAUAAAAAUAAAAUAAAUAUUUUUCUGCUUUAUAAAACAAAAAUAUAAAAACAGGGAGUAACAUUUAUUAAGGAGUCUCAACAUAAUAAAGGCUAGAUAUUUAAGCUAACACUUAAUCAGUUCCACAAGCUUUGUUGUCUAUUUGAGCUCCACAGAAAUUUAAGAAUCAAGAAGACUGGCAGACGGAGGACAUUCUAAUCGCUGUCAGAAUGCUGCUGACUUUCAAAUACACCUCUACCACCUGCCAGCUACACCAAGAGAAAUUACGUCAAAAUUCAGCUUAGGGGAGAGCACCCCCAUUUAUCACGAUAAGUAUUUCUAUCUAUCUUUAUACUUAUAUUAUUUUAGAAUAUUAAAAUACACAUAAACUAUGGGAAAACCAAAUAAAGAUUCUAUGCUUAUAUAUAUAUCUUUUGCUUAGUGUGUUUAAUAAAUAAAUAAAGUGGCUAUGCUAAUCUGUAUCUAAAUAAAACUUAAGCAUGGAUAUGAUAAAUAGUUGCUCUGCCUAAUUUGCAAAUUUUAAGUUCUCUCUCAAGUUUAGAUAUAACUGUUAUAAUUUAAAGCUUGCUCUAGACCUAAACUUGUGGGAUGAAAACUUGAUCUGAAGUCUAAGUUGUUAACGGAUAUGAUAUGGGAAGGUUGAGCUGCUGUUUAUCUGUUCCUAGAGAAGCUAGAAUUCUGGAGAAUUUUAUCUUUGAAAAUCUUUAAAAUGUUGCAUGAUGAGUUCCUGUAUGAUGAGAGUUUAAAUUCCUACCACAGCCAUAUAUACAUGCUUGCUAGACUUUGAGCCACACAUUUAAUAUUUACUGCUUAUGAGCAUUGAGUGUGGUCAAGCUGUGUAGACCCUUAGGAGCUUGUCAUGUGGUUAAAUCAAGAUUUCACUUGCACGUUCACUCAUAUAUGCUACUUCUACUCCGGAAGUACCAUCCACAUAUAUCCAUUCAUUUCCAUCUCCAGAACCACCUAAAAAUAUUCUACUCCUAAUCCGGGAGAGAAUAGCCAAAAAUAUUUCUAUUUUCCCCUUGUGAAAUAAAUGCUCAAGUUAUCUUGUUACUACCACUUGCUAUAUUAUCUCAAGAGAUGAGUGCUCUAAUAAAAAAAAAUAAUAUACGAGGAAAUAAAAAGGAGCAAGUGCUCAGAACCUCGAAAGAAAAGAAAAGUGAGACGAGAGGUAAAAAUGGACAAGUGUCCGACAGUAGAAUUAGGGGUACAAGAUACCCACCUGAGAGAAAAGAAAAAGAUGAGCAUCUCAUUCUCCUCAUAAAGUUUCAAAAAGCAAGGAAGGUAUGUAUCCCCUCAAAAGAGCAAAAGUAGAAUUAGACUUCCACCACCAUUGUUUUCACCAUUGUUAUCACCAUCAUCACCAUACACCAUUCAUUCGCCACACAUGCACAUCUUGAUUUGGCUUAUUGACUUGUUACUUUGGAUCCAUGGUUUGACUAUGCAAUAAAUGUCUUAUAAGUAUGUAUACUUUAUCUCCCACCUAUGAGCUCCAGAUAUUAAAGCCUUAUUAGAGUAGGAUGAGAGAGAAGGCAAUGUCAUUAUGCUUUAUACCAUAAAUACUACAUAUCUUGAGAGAAGGCAUAUACCAUCACUGCCUUGGUAAGGAUCCAAAAAUACCACAAAAGAGAGACCUGAGAGAAUCAUAAAAGGAAACUCUGAGUUUUAUUUAAAAAUCUGCAAAAAAACCCCAGAGCUAUAGCUGAUCAAGAAUAAGAGACAUGGCACUUGGCUAGACUGUUCUAUCUUUUAACCACUCAAGACAGAAGUGACAGUUACAAGUCCCAUGGUGAAGGUAAAGUAAGUAAUUUUUAAGUCUUGAUAGUUUACUCUAACUCAGAGAUGAGAUCUUAUUUAAAAGCAUGUGAACCGUCAAAUUUUUUAAAGAUAUUGCAACUACUUAAGAUCCAUAGCUGAGUCUAUCCUUGCUCAGGGACGAGCAAGAGGUAAGCUUGGGGGAGUUUGUUGACGGUCCUUAAGUAUCAAAUUUAAUUAUCAAAUAAAUAAAGAAAAGGAUCCAAAUGAAAUCAAGAUCUAGACUUAGGGUUUUAUCUGACAGAAUUCCACGAGUUUUGGUGUUUGUCUAUUUCUGUAGGGGGUUAUCAGGAAAUAUGGAAGAAAGGCCCACAUGUCUGGAUUACGUAAAGAUAUUAACGUGCUGCGCAAUUAUCUUACAUCUAUAAGACUCCAGAAGCCACGAGACCGAAGCGGAGGCGAAACGGGGCCAGAGACAGGGCGCCCGCCCUGUCCUACUGGGCGCCUGCCCUGCCCCUGUGUCCAAUCAGGACUCUGCUUUGCGGGAGAUCUCCACCGACCUAAAGGAUGAAUCUAAACCAUACAAUCUAUGUCGGUUUGAUCCAAGGGCCCAUAUUCACUUGGAGGGACUAUAAAACCAGACCCCCUAGCCCCUGGAGGAGAGAGCCUCUCAACCCUAAUUCAUUGUUCCAUCAAGGGAGAAGAAGCCUCUGAUCAAGAUUAGAGCCACCACAUCAAUUAGAUAUCUAGAUUAGCAUAGCUACAUAGGAUUAGAACUAGAAGGAGUCAAUCUUCGAUUGGUUUCCGGAUCUGUCAGGAGGAUUCUUGGUAAUUCUCUAAUUGUGCUUCUAAUUGCUUUCUAAUUAUCUUUGUUCUUCAAUAUUAUGAAUAUGACUUUGUUCUACUUCAAUAUAUUGCUUAUGACUUUGCUCUACUUGCUUAUAUUCAAGAUUAUAUUGUUCUUAGUUUAUCAUAGUUAUGUACUUAGCUUAGUUAGAUACGAUCUAUAUACAUGCUUAGGAUCGUAUAGCGUUUAUCCAUCGGAUCCAUGGGUAAAUGAUAGAUAUUGUGUAGGCGUGGUGCUUAUACCGUAUUUAUCUACGAUUGUACCCAAUAUGCCAGAUCGUGGGGUGGUUCGUGAUAGUGACAGCUUCAUUGAUUCUUAUAUAGUCCCCCUCUCGUGUAUUGGGCUGGCAGAGCAACAUUAUUACAGGGGAGUGAUUGCUAUGUUUCUCAUAUUCCUUGCUAAUAUCACUAUGCAUGGGCGUAGUCUUGUCUUGCAAUGAUUGCUAAGUAUGCUUGCACUAAUUAUGAUAAUGCUAGACUAUAUAGUUAAGAAUAACUUAGGGAAUAUUCUUGUAGUUCGUUCUAAUACCAUGCUAAUGACUUUCUAGAGUAUCUAAUUGAGGUGCUUAUCAUAUUUAUUAUGUGGCUAGAUCAGAUUAGUUAUCCUUGUCACUAUUAUUAUUUCAUAUAUCUUUUAUGUGACACUUAUCCCUGUAUGAAGAGUUAGAUAUAAUGUUCUCAAUUAUACAUGCAAUGAUAGAUGCUCAAUCUCAUAUUUUAUUCUGUAAUCAUUAGUGAUGAUUUCUAAUCCCUUCCCAGUGGUAAAAAUAUAAAUAACGAUACCUGGAAUACUUCCCGGUUAAAAUGCUACAUCGGUAUUAAUCUGUGCGCUUGCAGAUCCCAUUCAUUAUUUAUUUAGAAGAGCAAUUGCAUAUUUCAAUACCACGUCUCUUAUAUCAUGCUGGGGAUGACAACUUGGCUUAAGUGGUGUGAGGGAUAGGUUUGGCAUUUUUGGCACCGUUGCUAGAUUUAGAACUUAGUCUACUUUUGGUAAUGAUAUUAAGAAUACCCAACAUUGCCGCAAUAACAAAACAAAAUUUGUGAAGAUCAAACAAAAAACGGAGGAUAUCAAAAACUUAAGCAAACUAAGAGAAUUUAUGACUGAGCACAAGACAAAAAACUUUUUCAAGCAGCCAAAAAACACAUCCUGCGCACCAGGGGCGAAAGCAGCAACCAUGCUCACAGCCUCCGCAGCGUGGCACGUUUUGAGCAUAUGGCCCGCAGGAGUGCCAUUAGCCCAAACAGGGGGGAACUGUUGGGGGCUGGAUGCUUCCUUCCCCCUGGUUACUUCGAAGGAUCUCCUCUGCACGGGGAGCCUUCGUACGAAGCAGUGCAAAGGUUCCGGGCAAGACUAAUGUUCACGCAUUCCUUGUGGUACCGACUGAAUGCAGGGACCAAGUCAGUGGCGGAGGUAGCGAGAAGAGAAGGAAGGAACCUUCGAUCUCCCCACGAUGAAGGAUGGCCGAAGGCAAUACGGAGGACGCAGCAGGACCGACAAGCCUUCGGAACACCCGGGUGUUGACACUUGCUAACACCACUUGAAUACUAGGUUGUCAUCCCCAGCAUGGCACUAGAGUGUACUAUGGUAUUUAUACGCACACAGAUAAUCCGCAAGCGCACGGAUACCGUUAAAGCUUUUACCCGGUUAAAGGUUUUAUCGUAUCCACAGGGAAACGGGAGAACUGAUCUACGCUCUAACUUAACCAAGAUAGAUAGAUAAGUGUAAAUAGGAAAGAUGGUAGAAUUGAAUAAGAACAAUAUUAAAGGUAAGAUAACAGUGAGUGAUAAUAUGGGAAUAGAGAAUAGAGCAAUUCUAGUAUAUGGGCGAUGGUAGCAGAAUAGAGAGGAUAACUAUGGUUUCUCUACUUAAAAGGGGUAUGUCUAUGUCUGGGACGAACCACAUGAUAAGAGUACACCACAAAGGAUGCUUAUCCAUAGGCUGAUAAACCCUACCCGUCCUGCUAACGAGAGGUGGACUACAGAGGACCAACGUAACUGUCACCUACGCGGCCUACCACACGAUCCAGCUAGACAGGGGAUAUCCACAAGUAAUCUAGAUCUAAGCACCUCGCUUACACCUAUACUACAACUCUCACCUAUAGCGUCCUAUAGAUUAGAAUACUCAAAAGAGUUGUGAACCAGAACAUACAUAAUUAGUAAUUGCAUAAUGAAUUAGAAGUAGAUUACCAGAGUUAUCCCAUGAGCAAGCUUGAUUAGAGCUUGAUCAUGACGAAGUACAACCGGAGGAAGAACCGACAGGCCGGCCUCUCCUCUAAUCCUCCUUCGCUCUCCAUCUUGCUACUAUCUAGAUCUACUCUAGUUUAGAGAAGAGAGGAGAGCUCUCAUCUCUAAACCCUAGCUUUUGCUCUGUCUAUGAAUAAUGAAUAAUGAUCAAGGGGUGCCUCCUCCAGGGGCCAGGGGGUCUGGUUAUAUAGUCUUUUCAGAUGAAUCUGAGCCGUCGGAUCAAACCGACAUUGAUUGAAUGGUUAUUCUUGAUGUAUUAGGUCGGUGGAGCAUGAUCCGCGAAGUUGAAGCUGAUUGGUUACUGUAGCUGGGCGGGCACCCAAGGGACUUGGGCGGGCGCCCUGCCCCGGGGCCCGAUCGGCCUCCCGUUCGUUCCCGUGGCUUCUGGAGUCUUCUAGAUGGUAGAAAAUUGCGCGGCACGUUAAUAUCUCUAUGUAAACCCGACGUGUGGGCCUUUCUUUCAUAUUUCCUGAUAACCCCCUGCAGAAAUAGACAAACACCAAAACUCAUGGAAUUCUGUCAGAUAAAACCCUAAGUCUAGAUGUUGAUUUCAUUUGGAUCCUUUUCUUUGUUUAUUUGAUAAUUAAAUUUGAUACUUAAGGACCGUCAACAAACUCCCCCAAGCUUACCUCUUGCUCGUCCCUAAGCAAGGAUAGACUCAGCAAUGGAUCAGAAGUUGUUGCAAUAUCUUAAAAAUUUGAUGGUACACAUGCUUUUAAAUAAGAUCUCAUCUCUGAGUUAGAGUAAACUGUCAAGAACUAAAACUUACUUACUUUACCUUUCACCAUGGGACUUGUAACCUUCACUUCUGUCUUGAGUAGUUAAAAGAUAGAACAAUCUAGCCAAGUGCCAUGUCUCUUAUUCUUGAUCAGCUAUAGCUCUGGAGUUUUUUGCAGAUUUUCAAAUAAAACUCAGAUAUUCCUUGUAUGACUAUCUAAAUCUCUCUUUUGUGGUAUUUCUGGAUCCUUACCAAGGCAGUGAUGGUAUAUGCCUUCUCUCAAGAUAUGUGGUAUUUGUGGUAUAAGGCAUAGUGACAUUGCCUUCUCUCUCACCCUACUCUAAAUAGGCUUUAAUAUCUAGAGCUCAUAGGUGGGAGACAGCUAAUACAUACUUAAAAGACAUUUAUUGCAUAGUCAAACCGUGGAUCCAGAGAAACAAGUCAAUAAGUCAAAUCAAGAUGUGCAUGUGUGGCGAAUGAAUGGUGUAUGGUGAUGAUGGUGAUAACAAUGGUGGAAGUCUAAUUCUACUUUUGCUCUUUUGAGGGGAUACAUACCUUCCUUGCUUUUUGAAACUUUAUGAGGAGAAUGAGAUGCUCUUCUUUUUCUUUCCUCUCAGGUGGGUAUCUUGUACCCCUAAUUCUACUGUCGAACACCUGUCCAUUUUUACCUCUCGUCUCACUUUUUCUUUUCUUUCGAGGUUCCGGGCACUUGCCGCUUUUUAUUUCCUCGUUUAUUUAUUAUUAUUUUUUCUUUUCUUCUCUUUUUUUCAGAGCACUCAUCUCUUGAGAUAAUAUAGCAAGUGGUAGUAGCAAGAUAACUUGAGCAUUUAUUUCACAAGGGAAAACAGAAAUAUUUUUGGCUAUUCUCUCCCGGAUUAGAAGUAGAAUAUUUUUGGGUGGUUCUGGAGAUGGACAUGGAUGGAUAUAUGUGGAUGGUACUUCCGGAGUAGAAGUAGCAUAUAUGAGUGAACGUGCAAGUGAAUCUUGAUUUUAACCACAUGACAAGCUCCUAAGGGUCUACACAGCUUGACCAGACUCAAUGCUCAUAAGCAGUAAAUAGUAAAUGUGUGGCUCAAAGUCUAGCAAGCAUGUAUAUAUGGCUGUGGUAGGAAUUUAAACUCUCAUCAUAUAGGAACUCAUCAUGCAAUAUUUUAAAGAUUUUUCAAACAUAAAAUUCUCCAGAAUUCUAGCAUCUCUAGGAAUAGAUAAACAGCAGCUCAACCUUCCCAUAUCAUAUCCGUUAACAACUUAGAUUUCAGAUCAAGUUUUCAUCCCACAAGUUUAGAUCUAGAGCAAGCUUUAAAUUAUAACAGUUAUGUCUAAACUUGAGAGAGAACUUCAAAUUUGCAAAUUAGGCAGAGCAACUAUUCAUCAUAUCCAUGCUAGAGUUUUAUUAUUAAUAUUCAGAUUAGCAUAGCCACUUUAUUUAUUUAUUAAAUACACUAAGCAAAAGAUAUAUAUAAGCACAAAAUCUGUAUUCGGUUUUUUCAUAGUUUAUGUAUUUUAAUAUUCUAAUAUAGUAUAAGUAUAAAGAUUGGUAGAAAUACUUAGCGAGAUAAAUGGGGGUGCUCUCCUCUAAGCUGAAUUUUGACGUAAUUUCUCUUGAUGUAGCUAGCAGGUGGCAGAGGUGUAUUUGAAAGUCAGCAGCAUUCUGACAGCGAUUAGAGUGUCCUCCGUCUGCUAGUCUUCUUGAUUCUUAAAUUCUGUGGAGCUCAAAUAGACAACAAAGCUUGUGGAACUAAUUAAGUGUUAGCAUAAUAUCUAGCCUUUAUCAUGUUGAGAUUCCUCAAUAAAUAUUACUUCCUGUUUUUAUAUUUUUAUUUUAUAAAGCAGAAAAGAAAUAUUUAUUUUUAUGCCACCACAGUGAAGGUACUUAUGGGUUUUAUGCCACUCGUAUACUCACAUGGGGCUUAGUAUUUUUUAACAUUUUUAUUUUCUUUUCAAGAUAGCAUGAUUAACUAAUAAUCUAUUUAAGGAAAGUAAAUAAUUAAAGGGAAAAGGGAAUACAGAAAGGAUAAAUAUGGAUAACUACCGAUCUUACCUUUCGGCGAGGGUUCAAUGUUUUAAGUCUUCUUGUCAAGACUUCUCAUCGUGUUCAUUCUUUAGGUGCGUCAUUUGAUUCAGGUGCGGACCUUGACGUCUGCACCUCUUGAUACGGUGUCACCGAUGUUCUUCGUUUGCCCAGCUGUUCGAAGUGCGGCGUUGGCAGUAUCCUGCUCAGUGUGUUUGUGCUCAUAGAUCCAGGUCCUUCACUUGGUAGAGUCUGAGAGUUAUAAAACUCCUCCGUGUUUUGCUCGAAGUGUACCUGCUCAUAGAGACAAGGCAGAGAUCAAGUGCAUGGGUCUUGUUGGUGGAAAACACCAACAGAACCUAAAGUGUAUUUGUUCUUCUCUAACCCUAAGCAUAGUGAGCA